UCGGAAUAUUGAAAUUUCAAGAAUUUUGGGUUCUGCAAUCAAUGAAUAUUCUACCCUUGGAAUAAUGAACUUAUAAUAACUCUGGCAUUGUAUAUGAAUAAAGAUGAAACUAUUCGAGUUAUAUUUUUACGAUGAACCCAUGUGACUUGUGCACACACGUGUAUGUAUACUGUAGAACCCAAUUUUGCCCAGACCCGGACCCAAGAACCAAAACCAAUUAACUCACCCAACUAGCCUAACCCGGAACCCAAUUACAAACAGACCCAAUUACCAUUAACCUAACCUACCCAACCCAUUACAGAACAGGCCCAAACCCGAGGCCCAAUGUCUUAGCCCAGUAAGCUAACAGCCAAAACUAGGGUUUCAGAAAGUCUGAAACCCUAGCGCUGCACCUAGUACUGCCGCCGCAUGUCCCAUCGGCCACUUGCCCCAGACCUACCGCCACUCCUCUGGUAGCCACCAACUCCACCGCCAUCAUCACAUCACCUGCAAAGAAGAUGGCAAACACGCAAGCAGAAACGAAGAAAAAAUCUAUUUUUCUCUUCUUUCUUUCGGCUAUAAAAGCCAUCAAAAUAUGUAAUUUUGGGGGUUUUUUUUUUCUAGCGAUUUUUGUAACACAAAAACGAACAUUAGCAGAGAAAUAUAAGAACAAAAGAGAUUCAAGGUGAUUUGGAGUUUCCUUUUCCGUUCAUAGAUGUUUUAACUUUUUAUUUAUUUGUAUUUUCUUUUUUUUCGUCUAUUUAUAUAUNNNNNNNNNNNNNNNNNNNNNNNNNNNNNNNNNNNNNNNNNNNNNNNNNNNNNNNNNNNNNNNNNNNNNNNNNNNNNNNNNNNNNNNNNNNNNNNNNNNNCACCUGAUUCGUUUUUUCGGUUGCGCCGCCGUUGGGAUCUGCCCAUCGUUGAAAUCGGCCUCGAAAGUCUGAGUUAGGGGGUCUCUCCUUUGGAUCUUUCGGUUAGACGAAUUUUGCCUUCAAUCGGGCCUUGGAGUGAGAACUAAAUCGCCCUCUUGCGCGAGGUCGGCCACCGCCCGUGGUGGCGCAACGGCGGCGCUGGUAUGGCUCAAAGGCCUGGCUUUUGAGAGGAAAUGUGGGGUUUUUUUUAGGGGAUCAGUUAACAUGAAUUUUUUCAGAAAAAUUGGGUUUAAAUACCCAAAUUGAAACGGCGCCGUUUAAGACAGGGGAUCCGCGUGUCGACCCGACCCGACCCGGAGGAUCCGCGUGUUUUUUAGUUUUUGGACUAUUUGCGCGCGCAGUCCCCCUGAUUUUGCAGCGUGNNNNNNNNNNNNNNNNNNNNNNNNNNNNNNNNNNNNNNNNNNNNNNNNNNNNNNNNNNNNNNNNNNNNNNNNNNNNNNNNNNNNNNNNNNNNNNNNNNNNCUUUUUUUCGUUAUUUUCUCUUAUUUUUAAUUUAGCCCCUGCAAUUUCAUUUUGUUCCGACUUGGCCCAUUUCAACGCUGCGUUUUGGGCCUGUGGUUUAUUUGCAGUUUUGGCCUUUCCCUUUUCAGCACGCGUUGCAAUUUGGUCCUUUUUGUUUUUUUAUUUCGAUUUCGCCCAGCACUUCCGUUUUUAUUCUGAUUUAAUCCAUAUUUUAGCAAUUUUAUUAUUAUUAUUAUUAUUAUUAUUAUUAUUAUUAUUAUUGUUAUUAUUAUUAUUAUAAUUGUUUUUAUGCAUAUGCGUAUUUUUUUUAACUUAUUUAAUAUGUAAACACUCAUUUUUAUAUACAUAUCUAUCUAUCUAUCUAUAUAUAUAAUUAAAACAUGUAUAUUAUAUAUAUUAUUAUUUCAUAUCUAUUUUUUUUAUUUUUUAAAAUACGUAUAUUAUAUAUUAUCUUAUUUUAUUUUUAUAAUCCACAUAUGUAUAUUUUUUAUCUACAUACAUAUCUUCUUAUGUUUUGUAAUAUUUAUGCCUUUCUUAAUAUAUAUAUGUACAUAUUUUAACCUUUGUAAAUACAUAUAUAUAUAUAUAUUUAUAUAUAUACAUAUAUUUUAAUUUUUGCCUAUAUAUAUCUUUAUAUUUAAUCGUAUUUACUAUUUAUUUGUUUCAUUUUCAUUUUUAUUUUGAAUAAAUGUUUUAAUUUCAUUUGUUUUUAUACUUUGUUAUUUUUAUGUUGUAGAUUUGGCCUUUUUAUAUCGUUGUUAUUGCUCGUAUUUUUUAUACUUUUUAUACUUUCAUAUUCAUUAUGGUUUUACCAUGCAUAAAAAAAUGUAAUUUGCUUUCGUAUUUUUUGUUACGGUUUUCGUGUUUUUUAUUAUACUCGAUUUAACAAAAUUUGUUUUGAAUAAAUAAUAUUUCGUGUUUAGAUUCGAGAAGGUCGUACCCUAACUUACUGGGUUUCGAUUUUCACGAUAAAUCUAAAUGUACGAAUCUUUUUGAACUCAAAUUUUAAAUGAUCUCGGGGUUAAAAAAAAAUCGCGUCCUAACUUACUGGUCGUGAUCUCGUUUAAAUCCGAAAGGGCUAAAAUUUUUAAAUAAACAUUUUUCAUUCGCGUAUCGAGAAUUCGAGACAUCGUGUUCUAACUUACUGGAUAUGACUCUCUUUCUCGAAUAACGUGAAAUAUGCUUCUUUUUAAAAUUUUUUUUAUAAUACAAGGAUCGUAUUUUUAAUUCCUUCAAGUUCUCAAUUUUCGACAUCAAAACAUUAGCUAAUCAACUAGGUACCAAUUUUGGGCGUAUCGAGGGUGCUAAUCCUUCCUCGUGCGUAACCGACUCCCGUACCCGUUUUCUAAAUUUCGUAGACUAAAACCGUUGUUUUAAUAAAAAUCAAAUUAUUUAUUAAAAACAUCCUUUUUCAAGGUGACCCAAUCACACCUCAAAAAGGAUUGGUGGCGACUCCCGUUUCUUUUUUAAAAAAACCAAGUCGACCCCGUUUUCCGUCAAAAAAAAUGGUGUCAACAGCUUGGCGACUCCACUGGGGAAUUUUUCAAAAUAAGUGAGUCAAGCCACGAGUUGAUUACUUUUUGUUUUUUUGUCGAAAUUUGAAAACUUGAUUUAAAUAUACGAUCCUUUCAUUGCAUUUCAUUCGUUUGUAUUAUAAUUGUCAUUGUUGUGGUUUAUAAUUGUUGUGGUGGUUUAAAUUUUGGUAUCUUUUUGCACAUUGCAUUGCAUGACCGUUGGUCACACCUUUUAAGUGGAAGUGAGAAGCUACUCCUUCGUGAGGUUUUCACCUCCGUGCAGGAUAGUGGAUCACUUUCGGGAUACAUCUGUACCUAUGUCUUCGUGAGAUUUUCAUCUCCGUGCAGCCAUAGGGAAAUGUAUUCCCCUGAACUGAACUCGGUCUGUAUGAGUCUAUAAUGGGUGAAGAUCGAGGAAUCUGCUGGUUCGGGUACCCUAUCUUUAGAGCCAAACCUCAUGUAGUGAACCUUAGGACCUUACCCUAGGUAGAGCCACUCCAAACCCUAGUGGAAACACCGAUAUAUGCUUUUAUUCUUUCUGCAUUGUUUUGAAUUGUAUGUUUAUACCUGAUACUAACGUUUGCUGUUUUAUUUUGGAUGCAUGACAUUUCAACUGCAUGGCAUUUCAUUAUAAAAGACGUUGGUUCAUAUUCGGUUUCUAGAAAGAAAGCUUAUCAUGGAAAAGGGAUUUCUUGAUAAGGUGGAAGAUAAUGCGGCGGUCCGAAUUUGGUCAGAAACGACACAACGAGAGAAAGGGGAUAGUUUGGCUGAAGGAUAUGAAUCUGAGUUAUGGGACUUCACCCGUAUUAGCGUAACCCAGAACAAUUUGCAAGAAUUGAAAGAAAUUUGGGGCCAGUGGAACGAGGAGGACAGACGAUUGUUCUAUUCCGAUUAUGGGGAUUUGCCGUACUUGCUAGAUAUGAAGGUAGACAAGCACCUGUUUCGGGCUCUCGCGCAAUUUUGGAACCCCGCCUACAGUUGUUUUACGUUCGGAAAAGUCGACUUAGUACCUACGAUAGAAGAAUAUAUGGCUUUACUUCGGUGUUCGAAGAGUCAAGUCGAUAAAAUCUACUCAAGAGCUGCAAAUGCACCCUUUUUGAGAAGAUUGAUGAACAUAACAGGCAUGAGUGAGCAGUGGGUCACAGCCCGAAUCAAACAAAAAGGGGAUAACAAAUGUAUUUCUUGGAGGAAUUUGAAAGAUGUGGUCCUAGUGCAUCCAGAUUUACAAAAGAGAGUAGAUGUAUUCGCUUUGUGCCUAUACGGCUUAGUUAUCUUUCCCAAAGCUUUGGGGCAUAUUGAUGAGGCAGUCACUGAUCUAUUUGACCGUCUCGACAAGGGAGUUACUCCGAUUCCAGCAAUUUUAGCAGAAACAUUCAGAUCAUUGAAUGCCUGUCGACGAGCGGGUGAAGGCAGAUUCGUUGGAUGUGUACAGUUGUUACUUGCGUGGUUCCACAGUCAUUUUUGGAAAGUGGAUAAGGUGUCAUAUCGGGUCUUCUCUGAAAACUAUUCGCCACUAAAGGAGAUAGUAGGUACACCGAGAAGAGAUGAUAUUUCGAUGGAAAAAUGGAUGGCAAUUCUUCAGACCUUGCAAGAAGAGGACAUUGAAUGGAGAGCUCCGUGUUUACUUCCAGACGAAAUUUUGUAUCGGUGUGGUGAUUUUGAUUGGGUCCCCCUACUUGGAAUCUGGGGAGCUAUUGGAUAUGCCCCGUUAUUAGUGCUCAGACAAUACCGGUCAAGACAGUUUAUACCCGCAACCCAGGGACUAGCCGUGUGUGAAUUCGCGUAUGGGGGUGAUGGUUACAAAAAGAAGAUUCGAGAGAUAUCCAAUGCGUGGAACCAAACUCGACGGAUGAAGAGGUUGGCUGUAGGACCGAUGACGACUCCUGAGUACGAUGAAUGGAGGGUCAGAAGAAUCAAUGACAAUAUUCCCAAAUCGAGUCAUGAAGGCAGUCAGUCAUUAGAAGAACAUUUAAAGGUCGUCCCUUCUGAACUGGAAAUUUUAAAACAGGAUUUCGAAAGAAGAACUGCAGAGUUGGAAAAACAGAUAGAGCAAAUGGAAGAGGAAAAGAUGAACUUAAGAUUGGACGCAGACGUUCAGAAGCUCGAGGCUGAACGAUUAAAAAAGGGGAAAGCUAGGGCUGAAGAAGAUCUUGAUAGUUUGAAAAUAGAUUAUAAGAAGUUGCGAUUAUCAAUAAGGACUGCCGGGUUGGGAAAAUCUUCUGAACAGUGGCGCAAAGAGAUUCAAGAAGAAAAGAAUAAGGCUGAUGAAUGGGAAAGGAGGUUCCAAGAAAUUCAAGCACAGAACGAGACUUUAAAGAGGAGUUUGUCGGAGAAUCAGAAAGAGAAAGGGGAGCUGGAGAAUAGAGUGACUGAAUUAGAAGGAUCUCUUCAUCGGCAUCGAAAUCGGAAUUCUGUGAUGGAAUUGAGGGCAAGCUUAAAUAGAAUUGAAGAAAUGAAGGAAAGAAUUGAAGGGUUAGAAGCAGCAUUGCGAAAUUGCGAGAUUCAGAUUGAGUACUUGGAAUCUAAUGAAGAUCGUCAAGCCAAGCAGUUGCACUACUUUCAGAACCAAGUAAGAGAUAGGGAUCACAUUAUGGGAGAAGCCGUGCUUCAAAUCAGAGAGGUGGCUGACCAUUUGCAGACGUUAGCAGUACAAGCUGAUGUGUUGAGCGUGAAGUACGAAUUAGAGUCAAGUCAAGGACAAGAGUUAGCCUCGUUACUUAAGAAAAUUAGAGUUUUGGGUAUUAGGGCUAAGUCGUAUCUGUAAUCCACCUUAUGUAAAGAAGUUUGUUUUCUAAUAAAGUUUUCAGAAUGGAAUUGAAUUAGAAUCAACGUCCCUUUUUUGCAUUCAUUUCAUGCAUUGCAUCACAUUAUAUGCAUUAACAACCAUUAAAGGACCCUAAUUGAAUAAAAUUAUUUCAGCUAACCUGGAAAAUCGACAUUGUUACGGCACCCGGGCUAAGUCAAAAAUAAUGGAACAAAGGUUGGAAAAACUAGAACGGCUUCAAAAGGAAAUGCAAGACCAGUUGCAAGCGCAAAUGAAAGAACAGGUGGAAAAGAUCGAGAAAGACAUGGUACAAAAGAUGAAGGAAUCUCAAGAUGACCUAAUGAUUAAAUUGACGCAAUUAAUAAAGGGAACGGAUAAAGGGAAAAGUCCUGUAAUUUGCGAUGAAGAAGGGAACAAUGAUGAACCACUUUUUCCUCCAGGAUUCACGCCUCCGCAUGCGCAAAUUCAGAUUGAAACACAUACACGAAAACCUUCUGUUUCGAUUAAGCCUCAGCAUUGUCAAGGUGAUGCUUCAAUAUCGAAGAACCUUCAGGUCGGAUAUGGUUCUGGUCUUGGUGAUAAUCUGGUUGUCCCGGAUUUCGAUGAAGUAGCGGAGAAAGACAAGAUGAAGGAAGAGUUACCAAAGCAGUUUGAGGAGAAAUGGAAAUGGAUUGAAGAAAAGUUUAGGGCGAUAGAAAGUAUCGACAGCUAUCGUGGAAUAGACGCGAAAGAUCUGAGCUUAGUUCCGGAUUUGGUGCUUCCUUACAAAUUUAAGAUGCCGGAAUUCGAAAAAUACAAUGGAACUAGUUGCCCUGAGGCUCACCUUGCUAUGUUCUGCAGGAGAAUGACGGGGUAUAUUAAUAAUGAUCAAUUAUUAAUACACUGCUUUCAGGAUAGUCUUACAGGCGCGGCGUUAAAAUAGUACAAUCAGCUAAGCCGAUCUAAAAUUGCUACUUGGAGAGAUUUGGCACAGGCAUUCAUGAAACAAUACGAUCAUGUCUCAAAAAUGAUGCCAGACAGGAUAACUCUGCAGAAUUUGGAGAAGAAAUCAAACGAGAGCUUUAGACAGUAUGCACAAAGGUGGAGAGAAAUGGCAGUGCAGGUGCAACCACCUCUUUUGGAGAAAGAAAUGACGACGCUUUUUAUUAAUACAUUGAAAGCCCCAUUCAUCACUCACAUGUUGGGAAGCGCUUCAAAGAAUUUCUCGGAUAUAAUCAUGAGCGGCGAAAUGAUCGAGCAUGUUAUUAAAAGUGGAAGAAUAGACGGAGGGGAGAACAAUAAAAGGACAGCCCCGAGGAAAAGAGAAAAUGAAGUGAAUAAUGUGAAUGCUUACAGUAAAUCAAUUACUGUAAGUCAACCAAGGAAAGUGGUCACUAAUCAACAGGGCUCAUCGAAGCAAGAGUCGGGAAUGAGGGAAAAUACUGAGAAGCCCCAGUUCACUCCCAUUCCAAUGACAUAUAAGGAGCUGUACCAGAAUUUAUUUAAUGCGCAUGUUGUCGCUCCUCGUUACUUGAGUCCUCUACAACCCCCAUAUCCAAAAUGGUAUGACACAAACGCUCAGUGUGACUAUCAUGUCGGAAUUUCAGGACACUCAAUAGAAAAUUGUACUGCUUUCAAGAAGGUAGUGGAAGGACUUAUCAAAUUGGGCGUUGUCAAAUUUGGUGAUUCACCUAACACGGAAAGUCCGUUGCCCAAUCAUGAUGAAGGAGUGAACGCGAUAAUUGAGAAUGGAGGAAGGAGAGUCAAAGCCAAUGUAGUAGAGAUAAGGACCCCCCUUGAAUGGAUUUGGAAGCAAAUGGUGAAAGGGGGUCGCAUCAAGCAAGAUUCAAUAGAAAGGCCUGAAGGAGCAAGUAAGUUUUGUGAGUUCCACGCAGAAGAAGGCCACGACAUCCAAAAAUGUACCGAAUUCAGAACCAUGGUGCAAAACUUAAUGGAUAACAAAGAGUUGGAGUUUUACGAAGAGAUUAAUGAACUAGAAGAAUGAGAAGUUUAUGCUGCAGAAGAAGGAUCCACGGGGAAAGUCCAAAAGGCUAGCCACCCAGUGGUAAUUAUUUCAAAACCAAUGAGCAGAGAAUCUGGAAUUCAAAUAGCGCCAAAGAUCAUAAUCCAAAAACCUGUAUCCUUUCCUUACAAGGAUAGCAAAAAGGUUCCUUGGAAUUACGACUGCAAUGUGACAAUUUCAGGGAAAGAAAGCUUGGUAAACGCUUCAGGAGAAGAUGAAGGAUUCUAUACACGAAGUGGAAAACGCUAUGAUCCGGCAAACGCGAGAGUGGAAUCCGGAAAAGGAAAAGCCUUAGCGGUUGAGUUGGGAAAAGCAAAAACAGACAAAAUUAAACCGCGAGUCAAUCAGCCGGUAACUGAAAAUGAGGCUAGAAAAUUUCUAAAAUUCUUGAAACAUAGCGAGUACAGCGUGGUAGAACAAUUGCAUAAACAACCGGCUCGUAUCUCGGUGCUCGAUUUGUUUAUAAGUUCGGAGAUACAUCGUAAUGCGUUAAUUAAGGUGCUAAAUGAAACUUAUGUCGCUCAUGAUAUCUCAGUGAAUAGGUUGGACCGCUUGGUUAACAAUAUCAGUGCCGACAAUUUCAUUUUCUUUAAUGAUGAUGAAAUACCGCCGGGGGGAAGAGGAGCCACCAAAGCAUUACAUAUCACUGCUCGUUGCGGGGAGUAUGCGUUAGCAGGAGUGCUAAUUGAUAAUGGGUCAGCCUUGAAUGUUUUACCCCUAUCCACCUUAAAUAGGUUACCAGUGGAUAGCUCUCACAUGAAAUCAUGCCAGAAUAUAGUGAGAGCAUUUGAUGGUACUGAAAGGAAGGUAAUGGGAAGAAUAGAAAUACCCCUCUUGAUUGGCCCGAAUAUAUACGAGGUGGAUUUUUUAGUGAUGGAUAUCAAGCCUUCGUAUAACUGCUUGUUAGGAAGACCCUGGAUUCAUUCAGCAGGAGCGGUGCCUUCAUCAUUACACCAGAAGUUGAAAUUGGUAGCAGAAGGACGGUUAAUUACGAUUGACGCUGAGGAAGAUAUCAUUGCAUCGGUAACCAGUGACGCACCAUAUUUGGGAACAGAUGAUGAGGCGGUUGAAUGUUCAUUUCGAUCCUUAGAGUUCGUAAAUGCAACCUCUGUUAUUGAAGAAAAGAAGAUCCUGAUGCCCAGCAUAUCUAGGGCCACGAGGAUGGGGCUACAAAUGACAGUUGGGAAAGGAGCUAUGCUCGGAAAAGGACUGGGAAGAUGCCUUCAAGGAAUGAUAGAGGCACCAGUGCUGAAGGACAAGCAAUACCGUUUUGGUUUAGGAUUUAAACCAAAUGCUAAGCAAAGAAGAAAUGAGUUGGAGAAAAGACAAGAGUGGAGGAAGGCACGUGUGAACGGAAAAGAAGUUAAUUGGGAACCGAUGGCUUUCCCCCACAUAUCCAAGACCUUUGUAUCGGGAGGAACCAUGUAUUCUGGACUGAGGACUCCAAGAAGGGAGAUCACAGAGGAAAUGCUAGGAAACUUGAACAUCAAUGCCAUAUCGGAAGAAAAAUCUGAAGAAGGAAGUACAUCAGGCAUCUAUCCCAUUGAACCUGGGAGUGUUUUAAACAAUUGGACUGCAGAAGAAAUGCCUGAAGUUUUUAGAGCUUUUUCAGAGUAAUAUUCAAAACAUGCUAAUUGUUAUAAGCUUAGAGAAAAUGAAACUUUUUGUGAAAUGAAAGGGGCUUAUAUUUGAACAUUGUGAUUUCAAUGAAAUAUAUUUUCGCAUUUUGAGUAUAUAUUCUUUUAUAAUUCUUUACAUUCUUUCACAUGAAUAGUCAUCUUGGAUGCCUUCAUUCCUGAUCAUUCUUUCAUUCAUUCAUGACCAUAUUAAAUAAGAAUUCUUAAAUUCAUACAUUCCCUGUACAUUUUUCGGUAUUUAUAACAGGUCUCAAGAUAUCAAUGACAUGAGUGACUCUACUAUGGACUUGGGAAAUCCUUUUGAUCGAGAUGUGUGUUUAGAGGAAUCUCAAGAUUUUGAAGAUAACACAGAUUGCAACCUAUCUCCGGACUUGUUGAGGAUGGUAGAGCAAGAAGAGAAACAAAUCCUACCUCACAAGGAGACAGUAGAGACAGUGACCCUAGAAGAGGGAAAGGUGGUGAAGAUUGGCACAUGCAUAGCUGAAGAAGUAAAACAAGACCUCAUUGAGUUGCUUCGAGAAUUCAAAGAUGUUUUCGCAUGGUCAUAUCAAGAUAUGCCGGGGCUAAGUACUGACAUUGUAGUACACCGACUUCCUAUAAAGGAAAAUUGCAAACCAGUUCAGCAAAAACUCCGAAGAAUGAGGCCAGAUGUUGUAUUAAAAAUAAAAGAGGAGGUGCAAAAGCAAUUCGACGCUGGAUUCCUGCAAGUGGUCAAAUACUCCGAGUGGGUGGCCAAUAUCGUUCCUGUCCCUAAGAAAGAUGGGAAGGUACGAAUGUGUGUAGAUUAUAGAGAUCUAAAUAAGGCUAGCCCAAAAGAUAACUUUCCCUUGCCGCACAUUGACACCUUGGUAGACAACACAGCGGGGCAUUCACUAUUUUCUUUCAUGGAUGGUUUCUCUGGAUAUAACCAAAUUAAGAUGCAUCCUGAGGAUAUGAAGAAAACUACAUUCAUAACCCUAUGGGGAACCUUUUGCUAUAAAGUGAUGCCAUUUGGGUUGAAAAAUGCAGGGCAACGUAUCAGAGGGCCAUGGUAACACUGUUUCAUGAUAUGAUGCAUAAGGAGUUGGAAGUCUAUGUUGAUGACAUGAUUGCGAAAUCUAAAACAGAAGAGGAACAUGUGCAGGUCCUUAAGAAAUUAUUUAUGAGGUUGAGAAAAUUUCAGCUAAAGUUAAAUCCAGCAAAAUGCACAUUUGGGGCCAGAUCAGGAAAAUUGCUUGGGUUUGUGGUCAGUGAGAGAGGAAUCGAGAUUGAUCCUGACAAAGUAAGAGCAAUACAAGAGUUACCUUCGCCGCGUACUCAAAAAGAGGUUCGAGGUUUUCUAGGAAGACUGAACUACAUCGCUCGGUUUAUUUCACAAUUAACCGAGAAAUGUGAUCCUAUAUUCCGUCUCCUUAAGAAACAUAAUCCAGGUGUAUGGGAUGAGGAGUGCCAAAAAACUUUUGNNNNNNNNNNNNNNNNNNNNNNNNNNNNNNNNNNNNNNNNNNNNNNNNNNNNNNNNNNNNNNNNNNNNNNNNNNNNNNNNNNNNNNNNNNNNNNNNNNNNNNNNNNNNNNNNNNNNNNNNNNNNNNNNNNNNNNNNNNNNNNNNNNNNNNNNNNNNNNNNNNNNNNNNNNNCCGAAUGCUAAACAAGAUGUUGUGCCCUGAUCUGGACAACUCGGAGACUGAGACAGUACAUGUUGUACCAUACCACCUGGUUAAUUUCUAAAUUGGACCCUCUGAAAUACUUGAUGGAAUCAACUGCUUUGAAUGGAAGAAUGGCCCGAUGGCAAAUUCUCCUAUCUAAAUUUGACAUAGUCUAUGUGAACCAGAAGGCUGUAAAAGGGAGUGCAAUAGCGGACUUCCUGGCAAGUAGGGCUCUGGAUGAUUAUGAGCCAUUGAACUUCGAUUUCCCAAAUGAGGAUUUGAUGUAUAUCGUAACUGUAGAGAAAGAUUUCCAAGAAGGUGGUCAUUGGAAGUUGAGUUUUGACGGAGCUUCAAAUGCUAUAGGCAACGGAAUUGGGGCAGUACUCGUGUCCCCUAGUGGAGAUCAUUACCCUUUUACUAGCAAAUUGGAUUUUGAUUGUACAAAUAACAUGGUUGAGUAUGAAGCUUGCAUUAUGGGCAUCCGAGCAGCCAUAGAAUGGAAAAUUAAGGUGCUAGAGAUAUUCAGGGACUCUACAUUAGUAAUUUACCAGCUCAAAGGGGAAUGGGAAACAAGAGACCCCAAGUUAGUCCGCUAUCGAAAAUUGGUUAUGGAAUUGAUUGAGGAAUUUGAUAGUGUCACCUUUAGUUAUCUCCCACGAGAUGAGAACCAGAUGGCUGAUGCUUUGGCUACCUUGGCAUCUAUGUUCAAAGUGAACAAGCUAGAGGAUAUGAAGCCUAUCCAGAUCAGCAUUUAUGAGGCUCCAGCCCAUUGUUGCAACAUCGACAAUGAAGGAGAAAAGGAUAAUCGCCCCUGGUACCAUGACAUAUUACGAUAUGUGAAGAGUCGUGAGUACCCUGACCAUGCGACGGAAAAUGAUAAGAAGACAUUGAGGAGAUUAGCCAUCGAUUAUGUCUUGGAUGGGGAUAUCUUGUAUAAAAGAGGAAAAGAUCAAGUAUUGUUGAGAUGUGUGGAUGCUGUCGAAGCUAAAGAAAUUUUGGAAGAAGUGCAUGAAGGUAUCUGUGGAACGCAUGCCAAUGGCUUCACGAUGGCCAGACAAAUUAUGAGAUUUGGGUACUAUUGGUCCACAAUGGAAGGGGAUUGCAUUAAUUAUGCCAAAAAGUGCCAUAAAUGUCAAAUCUAUGGUGACAAAAUGCACACACCACCGUCACCUCUUCAUGUUAUGGUUUCUCCAUGGCCUUUCUCCAUGUGGGGAAUGAAUGUUAUCGGGCCAAUAUCUCCGAAGGCUUCUAAUGGGCAUCGUUUUAUCUUUGUGGUUAUUGAUUACUUCACUAAAUGGGUGGAGGUUGCUUCGUAUGCAAAUGUCACGAAGUCAGCAGUUAGCAAGUUUCUGAAAAAAGAGAUCAUAUGUCGAUACGGGAUGCCUGAAAGGAUUAUAUCAGAUAAUGCACUAAACUUGAACAACAACUCAAUAGCGGAAGUUUGUAGUCAGUUCAAGAUCAAACACCACAAUUCGUCACCGUACCGUCCAAAAAUGAAUGGUGCCGUGGAAGCAGCUAACAAAAAUAUCAAGAAAAUUGUAGGGAAAAUGACUGAAACCUACAAGGACUGGCACGAGAAAUUACCUUUUGCCCUUCUGGCAUAUCGUACCUCUGUUAGGACCUCUACGGGGGCAACGCCGUUUUCUUUAGUCUAUGGGAUGGAGGCAGUUUUACCCAUAGAAGUUGAAAUUCCUUCUCUUCGAGUAUUAGCUGAACUAAAGUUGGAUGAGGCUGAAUGGAUUCAAUCUCGAUAUGACCAGCUGAACUUGGUAGAAGAAAAGAGGUUAAAAGCUAUUCGUCAUGGUCAGAUGUAUCAGAAACGAAUGAUGCGAGCCUAUAACAAAAAAGUUUGUCCCAGAGAAUUUUACGAGGGGGACUUGGUGUUGAAAAAGAUUCUUCCUCUACAAAAGGAUUUUAGAGGAAAAUGGAUGCCAAAUUGGGAAGGUCCAUAUGUGGUAAAAAAGGCUUUUUCAGGAGGGGCUUUAAUCUUAAGCGAAAUGGAUGGUAAAAGCCUGCCAAAUCUUGUGAACUCAGACUCAGUCAAGAAAUAUUUCACUUAAAAUUUGAAGGUCCAAAAAAAAAAACAAAACAAAACAAAACAAAAACAAAAAAAAAAGGGAAGGAGAGGCCAAGGUGAAAACCCGUAAAAAGGCGCUUUGAGACCAAAGGGGAUUUGAGUUGAAAACCUGAAAAAGGCGGCUCAAAUUUGGAUGAGGCAUGAGGUGAACAGAACAACUCAAAUUUUGAUCAAAAUCUGGGGCAUAUGGUGGUCUCGCUAUACUUGAAUCACAAGAAAGGGUAGGCGACAUCUUGGGGUAUCGACAAAAUACUGUAGAUUCCCUAAACACAUAUUAAAUGGUAAAAAAAAAACUUAUGCAGGGAAACUCGUGCUGCAAUAUCUGGGGCACCUGUUGUUAUCUUAUAUUUUGAAUUUUGGUAAAAUUUGUUGUCUUGAUUGAUGUAUUCAUUUCAAGCUUUGUCCCCAAUAAAAUUUCAUUUUGUUUAUUUUUCGUCCUAUCUUAGGAAAAUUUGUUAACUCAUUCAUUUCGAGAUUUGUUCUCAAUAUCAUUUUGUUUGUCCAUUGUGAUAAUUUCUUGGAAUAACGAUUAAUGGACUGAAUGUUCAGGCCAAAUGAGCUUUGCAUAUUACUCUAGAAAUUUCUAAAUAAUGAAGGAACCUGAAACAGGACCGUUGUUUAGAACACACCAAAUUUGAAAUGUCUAAAAGGAAAAAGUCUAAAUCAGGACUAUCCUUUUAAACUUUGUUGUCCAAACGUGGAUAAAACAAAAUGACAAAGGUCGUGUUAGGUGACAAGGCUUCAGUGAACAAACAAGCAAUAAUCACCGAGUGAUAAGGAAGAGGUUACCUCGGAGAAGAGAGCCUUCAUUUGCGUAUAAGUCUUUGGUAUGACACCCUGAGAAUGGUGUAGGAAACCAGAACGGUUCAGAUCCUAUAUCCUCGAAUUAUGAUAAAAGAAGACGGAGGAAAAGCCAUAUCUUUCUACCCUUGGGUUACAAUGGGAGUUUGAUGGUACAAAUUUCAUGUCCCAGUGGAUUGAACUUUGACGUUCACAAUGGGGGACAACUUGGCUAAGUGUUCCUUUAGAAAAGUUAGUCAAGCAAGAAGGUGCUGUAACACAUCAGUCACAAAACCUUGAUAAACUUCGAGUAGUGAUAACCUAAGCGAGAUCAUUCACGAAAAAUAAAAUUCUGCAUUCAUGCAAACACCAUUCACACAUGUCUAUCUAGGAGCAUUUGUUUCAUUUUGAUCAUGUCAUCCUAAUCAUUAGGCAUAAUUAGGUUCAUUAUACAGGUCUUAUUUCCCUGAGACUACAGUGGAACAGACCGAAGAAUUUUAGAUCUUAUCUCCCUGAGAUUGCAGCGGAGCAGAUUGAAGAUAGUAAUCCUAUCUCCCUGAGAUUACAGUGGAGCGGAUUAAAAUGAAGGAUCUUAUCUCUCUGAAGUUACAGCAGAGUAGAUCGUGUCAGGUCUUAUUUCCCUGAGAUUACAGUGGAACAGACCGAAGAAUUUCAGAUCUUAUCUCCCUGAGAUUACAGCGGAGCAGAUUGAAGCUAGUAAUCCUAUCUCCCUGAGAUUACAGUGGAGCGGAUUAAAAUGAAGGAUCUUAUCUCUCUGAAGUUACAGCAGAGUAGAUCGCGUUAGGUCUUAUUUCCCUGAGAUUACAGUGGGACAGACCGAAGAAUUUCAGAUCUUAUCUCCCUGAGAUUACAGCGGAGCAGAUUGAAGCCAGUAAUUCUAUCUCUCCGACGUUACGGAGUGGGUCGAAGCGCCAAUGCCUAUACCCCAAAAGUUGCUGCAAAGAAGAUUGAAGCUACAAGUCGGAUCUUGUUGAAGUGCAGUAGAGUGGAUUGAAGUGACAAGACACAGUAGACUAGAAUAAAGCUACUUGAAGAGGAGAAGCAUCAAAGAAGUCAAGACUCGGCGGGACCGGGCAAAAUUGGUUUUUUUUUAGUCUUUGCUCUGUUCUUGUUACACGACAACGAGCAAAGAGGGGCAGCUGUAGAACCCAAUUUUGCCCAGACCCGGACCCAAGAACCAAAACCAAUUAACUCACCCAACUAGCCUAACCCGGAACCCAAUUACAAACAGACCCAAUUACCAUUAACCUAACCUACCCAACCCAUUACAGAACAGGCCCAAACCCGAGGCCCAAUGUCUUAGCCCAGUAAGCUAACAGCCAAAACUAGGGUUUCAGAAAGUCUGAAACCCUAGCGCCGCACCUAGUACUGCCGCCGCAUGUCCCAUCGGCCACUUGCCCCAGACCUACCGCCACUCCUCUGGUAGCCACCAACUCCACCGCCAUCAUCACAUCACCUGCAAAGAAGAUGGCAAACACGCAAGCAGAAACGAAGAAAAAAUAUAUUUUUCUCUUCUUUCUUUCGGCUAUAAAAGCCAUCAAAAUAUGUAAUUUUGGGGGUUUUUUUUUCUAGCGAUUUUUGUAACACAAAAACGAACAUUAGCAGAGAAAUAUAAGAACAAAAGAGAUUCAAGGUGAUUUGGAGUUUCCUUUUCAGUUCAUAGAUGUUUUAACUUUUUAUUUAUUUGUAUUUUCUUUUUUUUCGUCUAUUUAUAUAUAUAAAUUAAAGAAAAGGAAGAAGAGGAGAACUCACCUGAUUNNNNNNNNNNNNNNNNNNNNNNNNNNNNNNNNNNNNNNNNNNNNNNNNNNNNNNNNNNNNNNNNNNNNNNNNNNNNNNNNNNNNNNNNNNNNNNNNNNNNNNNNNNNNNNNNNNNNNNNNNNNNNNNNNNNNNNNNNNNNNNNNNNNNNNNNNNNNNNNNNNNNNNNNNNNNNNNNNNNNNNNNNNNNNNNNNNNNNNNNNNNNNNNNNNNNNNNNNNNNNNNNNNNNNNNNUUUUUUUUAGGGGAUCAGUUAAAAUGAAAUUUUUUCAGAAAAAUUGGGUUUAAAUACCCAAAUUGAAAUGGCGCCGUUUAAGACAGGGGAUCCGCGUGUCGACCCGACCCGACCCGGAGGAUCCGCGUGUUUUUUAGUUUUUGGACUAUUUGCGCGCGCAGUCCCCCUGAUUUUGCAGCGUGUUAUAAUUUGAUCCUUUUUUUCGUUAUUUUCUCUUAUUUUUAAUUUAGCCCCUGCAAUUUCAUUUUGUUCCGACUUGGCCCAUUUCAACGCUGCGUUUUGGGCCUGUGGUUUAUUUGCAGUUUUGGCCUUUCCCUUUUCAGCACGGGUUGCAAUUUGGUCCUUUUUGUUUUUUAUUUCGAUUUCGCCCAGUACUUCCGUUUUUAUUCUGAUUUAAUCCAUAUUUUAGCAAUUUUAUUAUUAUUAUUAUUNNNNNNNNNNNNNNNNNNNNNNNNNNNNNNNNNNNNNNNNNNNNNNNNNNNNNNNNNNNNNNNNNNNNNNNNNNNNNNNNNNNNNNNNNNNNNNNNNNNNNNNNNNNNNNNNNNNNNNNNNNNNNNNNNNNNNNNNNNNNNNNNNNNNNNNNNNNNNNNNNNNNNNNNNNNNNNNNNNNNNNNNNNNNNNNNNNNNNNNNNNNNNNNNNNNNNNNNNNNNNNNNNNNNNNNNNNNNNNNNNNNNNNNNNNNNNNNNNNNNNNNNNNNNNNNNNNNNNNNNNNNNNNNNNNNNNNNNNNNNNNNNNNNNNNNNNNNNNNNNNNNNNNNNNNNNNNNNNNNNNNNNNNNNNNNNNNNNNNNNNNNNNNNNNNNNNNNNNNNNNNNNNNNNNNNNNNNNNNNNNNNNNNNNNNNNNNNNNNNNNNNNNNNNNNNNNNNNNNNNNNNNNNNNNNNNNNNNNNNNNNNNNNNNNNNNNNNNNNNNNNNNNNNNNNNNNNNNNNNNNNNNNNNNNNNNNNNNNNNNNNNNNNNNNNNNNNNNNNNNNNNNNNNNNNNNNNNNNNNNNNNNNNNNNNNNNUUCGUAUUUUUUGUUACGGUUUUCGUGUUUUUUAUUAUACUCGAUUUAACAAAAUUUGUUUUGAAUAAAUAAUAUUUCGUGUUUAGAUUCGAGAAGGUCGUACCCUAACUUACUGGGUUUCGAUUUUCACGAUAAAUCUAAAUGUACGAAUCUUUUUGAACUCAAAUUUUAAAUGAUCUCGGGGUUAAAAAAAAAUCGCGUCCUAACUUACUGGUCGUGAUCUCGUUUAAAUCCGAGAGGGCUAAAAUUUUUAAAUAAACAUUUUUCAUUCGCGUAUCGGGAAUUCGAGACAUCGUGUUCUAACUUACUGGAUAUGACUCUCUUUCUCGAAUAACGUGAAAUAUGCUUCUUUUUCAAUUUUUUUUAUAUAAUACAAGGAUCGUAUUUUUAAUUCCUUCAAGUUCUCAAUUUUCGACAUCAAAACAUUAGCUAAUCAACUAGGUACCAAUUUUGGGUGUAUCGAGGGUGCUAAUCCUUCCUCGUGCGUAACCGACCCGUUUUCUAAAUUUCGUAGACCAAAACCGUUGUUUUAAUAAAAAUCAAAUUAUUUAUUAAAAACAACAUUUUUUAAGGUGACCCAAUCACACCUCAAAAAGGAUUGGUGGCGACUCUCGUUUCUUUUUUAAAAAACCCAAGUCGACCCCAUUUUCCGUCAAAAAAAAUAGUGUCAACAUAUACAUUGUGAUCAAAAUCAGCUAUAUUACUAUGUAAGAAAUUAAAAUGAAAAUAUAUGAUUAAAAUUCUAUUGGAGAAGGUGGCAAAUACAUCAAUCGUAUCGAAAUAUUAAUAUCUAUUAAAGGAUGUCAGUAUAUAAGUGGGUCGUUGAUAUAGAAGGAAGGAAAGAAAGCAACCUAUACCCAACGCAAUAGAUGCGAGAGUAAGGAAGUGGGCCAAAAAGAUUGGUGGAGAAAUGGAUGAGGAAGCCACUAUCACUGUGCAGUUCCCUGGAGGCAAAGGCAAAUUUGGCAAUAUCCCGUUGUUUGUCUUUAUAAAAUGAUGUGGUUGGCGCGCUGUUUAUAUUAAUGCACGCCCCUUGGUCCCCCCCCCCCCCCCCCCAGUGGAAGUUUCUGGUAUUAGGACUGGCCAUGGUGGCCCUCGUGGCUGCUCCACUCCACAAAUCAUAUGUGGACCGUAUUUGUCUCAAUCUCCACACUCAGUGACACGUAAUUAUAAAGUUCCUAUAAAAAAAUCAUAGUGAUUGAAAUCGGAUUGGAUUGGAGAUUAGAGUAAAAAAAAACAUUAAUUUAUUUGUGAAUUAAUAUAAAUAGAUUGAAUUAAAUUUUAUAAUUUUUUAAAUGAAAGUUGAAUAAAAAAAAUCAGUGACUUGAUAAUCAAAUUAUAAUUUAAAAAUACAAUACAUAGUAAAAAGUUUUAACUGGAAAAUUGUAUUUAAAAAAUGUAUAUAUGUGGUCCAAGAAAUUUAAGUAUUUCACAAUAUUGCCAUUAUUAAAAAGCUUGUAAAGAAGUAAUUUUGUUUGGGUAAAAAUUUUGAAAUAUCAUCCUGUAUGUGUGGAAAAUUAAUUUAUAAUUACAUGAAAAAUAAAUAUACUCGUUAAUUUUAAAAUAUAAAUACAUUGAGACGUAGCGAGUAGUAAUAAUGUUGAUAUAGAGGGAAGUAUUGCUCUCUCACUUCCAAUUUCAAGUAAUACCACCAAAUUAAAAAUCAGCAGUGCCCUCUUCUAUAAGCUUGUCUGAAAAACUCAAAAACACACUGUUAGAGUACAGAAAUAAAUAAAUGCUUACUUCAAUGAUUAAGAGAGAGAGAGAAUAUGAACGAAUGGCCAUAACAUUAAUGCAUUCAUACAUUCUCGAAAAUGGUGGCAUCUUCUUUAGCUUUCACGUUGCUUACAAUUAAUGAAUGUAGAAUUUAUUCUAUUACUGCUUACAAAUGAAAAUUAGUGAAAAGAAGGGCCUUUUAGUUAAAAAAAGGGUCGGUCCAAGUCUAAGACCCCACCAGGAUUUUAAACAGCUAAAAGCAUUUAAUAAUUGCGACAAGGGAAUUGUGAAACCUCGAGUGCACGUAUGCAUUUUUGGAUGCUAAAUUAUGGUUAUAAAUCCUCCUCCCCUCUACUCCCCACGCAAUCAUUCAUUCUCUCCUUUUUCAUUUUUUAUCCGAAGCCAAUACCCCCAGAAUUUUCACAAACGAAAUGCGACCGCAGCCGCAGGCGACCGGUGAGCGCCUGGUGCGGUUGUCCCCGCAGCUUUCGUCAGGGGAACCAGAAAUGUCUUCCACUUCAACGUCUACGUGUAGCCCCCAUACUUGCAGGUGGCGGUCUUACCCAAAAUCGAAUGACUUGGAAGCUAAUGUAGCCACGGUGUUGAUCAUUCUCUUUUGUGGUUUAAUAUGUUCUUUGGCUCUUAACGCCGCCAUCCGCUGCUUCUUGCGUGGCAGUGAGGGCCGCCGCCCGCGUCAUUUCCGCAACGACAUUGCGGAAGCAGAUGAAGAAGUUGAGCAGAGAAAGCCCGUGGGGGAGGCAGGUGCGGCACUCAUGGUGGGGGCUCCGACGCUGGUUUACACGAGCGGGAUGAAGUUGGCGGGAGCGGAAGCUGAAUGCGCGAUUUGCUUGUCUGAAUUCGUGGAGGGAGAGGGAAUUCAAGUGUUGGCAAAGUGUAACCAUGGAUUCCAUGUACAAUGCAUCCAGCGGUGGUUAUCUUCCCGCUCAUCUUGUCCUACUUGCCGCUGUAGUUGUCUUUCCCCACCGCCGUUAACGGAAGAAACCACAAACAACAGUUCACAAUCGACGAUGCCGGAGCCGGAGCCAUAGCAUAUAUCUUUCGCUGCUCUUCACAGCGUAUGCAUGUAAACUGUUACAUAUAACAACAGUACAAAUGAUCGUUGGUUGAGCAUAAGCAAUGUUCCUAUCAUUUAUUCUUCAUAUUGGAGAUAAUUUUGGCAUCUACAUAUUAGAGCUGCCCUUAUUCCCUUUUAUCUUUUCAAGGGAGAAGCUCUUCCGUCCUUGUUUUUAUUUAUUUAUAAAGCUCGAAUUCCAAAUUUUAUUCUUCCCUCAAUUUGUAAUCUACCCAAAGAAUAAUUAGUUUUUAAACAAUCGAUUUUAAUUUUUUUUAGACCAAAUCCAAAAGAUUUAAAUAAAUGAUAAACUAUAAAAAUAGUUAUUUUUGUUUGUCUCAGAUUAUAUUUUAGUCACUUAUGUUUAAAAAAUUACGUUUUAGUCACUUACAUUAUCAUUUUGUUAUGAAGUAAUUACUCUGUCGUUAAGCUCCGUUACCUCCCUAACAACAAUCCUACGUAGCAGUCCAAAUGUGUUUUAAAUGCCAACUUCGUUGUCCAAUUGGGAUGAGAAUAAUUUUUCAAUCAAAAUGAAAAAGAAAACUAAAAGAAAAAAGAGACAAACAAAUUUUUUUUUCAUUUCAAAAUGUAAUUAAUUUAAAAUUUUUAUUUAAUUAAUUUUAUUUAAUUAAAAACUUAUUCUCAUCUCAAUUGGACAUUUAAGUUGGCAUUUAAAACUCAUUUGGACUGACAUAUAAGAUUGCCAAUAUGGAGGUAAUGGAGCUUAACAGUAGAGUGACCACUUCGUAACAAAACAAUUGCGUAAGUGACUAAAAUGUAACAUUUCAAACAUAAAUAAUUAAAAUGUGAUCUGAAAUAAACAAAAGUGUCUAUUUUUAUAGUUUACCCUUAAAUAAAAUACAAAUGUCUUAUAUUACUUGUGGCUGCUUUUUUCUUGUCCUCCUUGUAUGUAAGAGGCUUUUUUUUUGUUUCUACUUCCCACAUUUACUUUUUGUUUAUUAAUUGAGCUAAAUUAGUUAUAUAUAUAUAUAUAUAUAUGAUACAAAAAAAAAGUUAAUUAACGGAAUAGGUUAAUUUUUUUAAAAUUUAAGGAAAUAGACAAAUUUUAAAAAGUGUGUGAACUAGACGCGUUUUUCUGAUAUAUUAGCAGAAAGUUCGUCUAACUAGAUGAGUUUUCACACUCCCUAAAAAUGAUUUAUUUCCUCAAUUUAAAAAAAAACGACCUAUUUAACUCGUUAAGAGACUUUUUUUUUUCAAUAUAUGGCCUAUUUAACCUAUUAAUUCUUGAAUAUCUAAGGAAACUGAAAAGCAGUUGAUACAAAAAAUGAUGACAGCUUGGUCUACCAUGCCUUUGGUAUUUUUCUGGACCUGAAACUUUUACGUUAUUGGGCUUUGUGGCUGAACUUUUACAUGAUCAGCCCAAUAAGGUAAUAAUAAAUGUUCAGAUAUUUUGAAUUUUUUUAGUUUAAUAAUUUUAUAAUACAACCAAUCUUCUCUAUAAUAACUCCAUUUGUCUGUUAAUAUUUUAUCUAUAAUAGUGAGAAUUGUUGUAAACUUACCAUAUAAUUCAUAUCAUAAAUUUCCAUCAAAUAAAGAAAGUAAGAAUUAUGUUCGAAAAAGAAAGUAAGACUCAAAUCAAUAAAAUUAAAAGACGUAUAACAUGUGCAUACGUUCUUGUUUUUAUGCAUUUUUUUAUUAUACAUUCUUUCACUUGAUUAAUUAUGAAAUCUUUUUAACAAGUUCAAUUAAUCAAUAUGAUUUAUCAAAUUAAAUUGAUUAAUUUAUGAUGAGUUAUUAAAUUCAAAUAAUCAAUUUAUGAGUUUUAAACGUUUCAAUUUCAUAGUAGAAUGUUUAAUUAAAGAACUUAAUAGUGUAUCGAAUUGAUAUUUUUAGUUUCGCUCAUAGAAUAUUAUUUUUAUUUAAUAAAAUAUUACCAAUAGAUUUAAUAAAACAUUUUAUUGAAAUAAUAUUUUAAUUAAUAAUAUUUUUAUUUAGUAAAUUAUAAUAAAGAAUGUACUUUAAAACUAUGAAGGUUACUAUUAAGUGAAAAUCUGAUAUAGAAGAUUAAAAUAAAAUAAAAUAAAUCAAAUCUACUAAAAACUUGGUUGUUAUAACAAAAUGUUGUUAUAAGUGGUUGCUAUCCCAGUUUUAAUUUAACUCUAAAAACACAAAUUUAAAUGGGCUUAAGCUAUUUUCUCUCCUAUUAAAAAUUGAAGAGUUGAUUGGAAUGGAGAGUAUAUAAAACAGUUUUAUACUAUAACUACAUCUAGAUUGAAGUUAAAACCUUUAUUUUUAUACCUCUUAUUAUUUCACAUUCUUAGCAAGUAGCUUUUAGCAAAUGCGAAAAUCCUUUUGAGUCUAGCCAUUCUCAAACCGAACUUUGUGGCCAAGAGAGUCGAAUCGGAAAUAUUGGUGAUCUUGGAAAUUAUUCAGUUCGCCGACCAACUUCAUCCACUGAUUCUGCAAUGGGUAAUAUUGAUAAUUUGCAACAAUUAGCCAUUCUGAAGAACUAUAUGAAUGACGGUGGUGAUCUCGGUGGAACAACCAGUGUGAAUGCUAGAGCCUACCAGCCUCUGCAACAAUCAAAUUCUGAAAAACUUCGGAACUGAAACUGGAAUCAGAAUUAGGAGCCGUGGACCUCAGCAACGGCCAAGUCCAGACAACGCUGUAAAUCAGGGUACUGCUCCAAGAAGAAGACGCUUGCAAACAGAACUUUCUACUGGGCCAAUGAAGGUGUCUGCAGGCAGUGCUGAUGAUGACAAAGUGAGAAGUGGCAGCCUUGGUGAAGAAGAAGUUCAAUCUGCUUUAACUGAGGUAGGGUAACCAGGAAUAGCUAAUAUUGAAGUGUAUUUAUCUUACCUUUCUCUGCGUUUUGGAUAAGAUCGAGUAUACUGUAGGUUAAUUGAAUUAUAUCUUUCAAUGCUUGCAAUGCAGGUCACAGAAGCAGAAGCUACAGGAGAGACUUCUAGCUCUGAUGAGUCGGAUAACGAGAAUGAACCAUUCAAGUUCGAUGGCAGCGGGGGUAUUGCUGAAGAAUCUUCUACUAAACCGAGACAGAGGGUAAAACAAGAUGGUGAGGAAGGUAGCGGCCAAAUGGGUCCAUCAGUGCAUCAUCAUCAUCGCUCGAGCACCCUAUUAUUUCUUGCUGUUAUCAUUAUGACUAUUGUGAUCGUUCUUGUCAUGGGGAAUAUGGAGAUAACUUAUAUCUUAAGUUAUUCUGGAUGAUGUUGACACGGGCUGCAGGUAGGUUAUCCAUUUCCCACUGUAGGCAAUUACUGUAUAAAAUAAGUACCCAAUGGGCCUUUUCUUACUACUUUAGCUUGAAGUUGUUUUUAUAAUAAGAGGGGAGAAGGUUAGAGGAAUCAUAGAUAAGGUCUUAUUUAAUUGGUUGAAUUAGUUAAACCAAAUAAGAUUCUAAAUAUUUAAAAAAAUUUAAAUUUUAAAUAAAUAUUACAUACAUUGAUGAAUUAAUAUAUGUUAUUUCCUUGUACUAUUUUAGCUUAUAUAUUAAAAAAACUUAUUUAAAAAAAGACCUUAGAUCUAGUUAAUACUUUUAAAUGGGUCAAUUCUCCCCUGUGCGCGAUAUUAAGGUCAAUUCGGUUUUACUUUUUGUUCUUCCCUAUUACUUGUUUUGUUAUUUUAUUUAGAUAGAUAAAUUUGAUGUUUAUUACACUUAAAUAACACUUUUAUUUUUUAAAUUUGUAUACAAAUAAACUCUUAAUCUUUUAACAUAUAUCUAUAAUAUAUAUAAAAAUACGAGUUUGAAAAAACUUUUAAAUCGACGAAAACAUUUUUUAUUUUCUACCAUAUUACUAAAUUGACAUUUAAAAAUAUUUAUAUUUUAAUUUAGAAUUAUUAGUUAUAACUCUAUUUAAAAAUAAAUUUUGAUAAUUUUAUUAACUCUAAAAUAGAGUUAUAACUUGAAUAAAGUCCAAGCAUCGUCAUCACCUUGUAUAAAAAAACAUACUCAUUACCGAUAAGUCAAAAUAACUAAUAAUUAAGGUUAAAAUAUUAUUUUUAAAAAUUCUGAUUUUUUUUAAUUUUUAUAAGUAAUUUUUUUUUAUUUAUUUUCAUACUCCUUGAUGUAAUAAAAUAAGACUAUAAAAGUUUAAGUAUAUAAAUAUAUAUUGAUUUUAUCUUUUAAUUAUUAUUUAAUUAGUGUUAGACUUAUAUAUCAAUUAAAAUUUAAGUUUAGAUCUAUAAAUAAUAUCCAUAAGUUGUAUCUAAAAAGGUCAACAAUACAAAGAAUGAAAAUUAUUAGUAUUAAUAAAUAAAAAAAUAUCUCAAAAAGGCGUAUUCAAACUACAAUGGCACUAAGUGAGACAUGUAAAAUUAUUUUAAUUGAUGAUGACAUGAUAUAAUAUAUAUUUUUUUUAAAUUAUCGGUUGUUGAUUCUAUGUGAAGCAAGUAUUCUUUUGUACUUUUUUUUAUCUUCUUCUUCUUCUUAUUAUUAUUAAAAUACAUAAAGUUAUAAAUAAAUGAGAGAGAUUGAAAAAAUAAAAAAAAAUCACAUAUAAAAUUUCAAUAAUUAUUUUUCAAUCACUUUUUACUAUAGUUUUUAAAUUUCUAAAUUAUUUUCAACUUCUUUUACUUAUAAAAUAUUAUUUAUCUUAAAUAAUAGUUACAUUAAAUAUGUGAUAUAUGUGAUAUAUUAUUUAUUUUUAAUUUAUAAAAACUAAAAUUCACCAACAAGUGAGAAGGAAAUCUAAUUUAAAUAAAGUUGUAACCUUUUAAAUUUAAUUAAUUCUUAAUAUAAAUGAAUCAUUUCAAAAGAAAAUUUAUUUAAUACAAAUAAAAAAAUUUGAACUAAAAUAAUCACCCAAUAUAUAGUUUAAUAUUUUAACCUCAUUAUUUUUAGCAUUAAUUUCAUUAUAAGUUUUUAUCAUAUUUACUUUUUUUAUAUAUAUAUAAUGAUUAAAACUACCUAUAGUUCCUCCCCAACCCUUUAAAUAAGAGAAUAAUGUACUCCAGCGCAUUCAAACUUACGUCCUCCUAUACUGACAACAAUAUCAAUACCAAUCAAAUUAAAACUUAAUCUACAAUAUUUUAACCUCAUUAUUUGUAUAAAUACUAAGCAUGUUGAGAAAGUUCCAUCGGAGAAAUGAUGGGGCAGAACAACCAAAUUACUUUUUUUGUAUCAUAUCAUAUACUGCACAAAGUAAUAAAUAAUUAAUUGCACAAUCAAUGAAUGGAGAAGAUGAUAAGGAUGAGUUCAUGAGCCAUCCAUUUUAUAUAUAAAUAAUUAUCAUUACAUACAACAAAACACUGUAUACUUUCAUGUGGGCUCGUCUUCAGUCUCCAGGUGGAGGGAACUCCUCAUUUCAACCCACCACCACCACCACCACCACCGCCACUCUGGUAACUUUUAAGCCCUGUUGCCGCCGCCCCCUCCAGUAAUCAGAGUCUUUUUCUUCACUAACACACCCAAAUUUUUGUUUCUUUAGCUGUCUUGAAGUGAACUUCAGUUUUGGCCAGAGACUGAUUUAACAACAAGUGUUGGAAAAGAGAUGAUUCAGGUGGCAGUAGUGGCGGGGUUGAUGGAGGAGUACACGGUGCUGUUGGCAAGGCUGCUUGAGCAGAUGUUACAUGAAGCUCCUUUUCCAAGGCGAAUGCGUUUCCUUAUCCUUCGUAGUCUUCCUUUUGUUUACUCCACUCCCCUUCUGAUCCCAUCCCCUACUUAAACCCCUGUUUUUUUUUUCCCAUAUGCAGAUUUCUGUUAUAUGUACAUUCUCUGGAGCUCUGUUUGCUUCAUCUAUGUAAUAUAAAUUCCAUUCCAACUUGCUUGCUUUUCUCUGUUUUCACAUUCAGUGAUUCAACCAUGCUUUUAUCCUUGUUUCUGGUUGGUCUCAAAAUGUUCACAAAAAUCGCCAAAAAGGGUUGUUUCAAUGAAAAGGUGGAGACCAAAUUACUAGCAUGGUUGCCUUGCCAUAUGGCACUAUUUUUACUUGCAUGUAAUUUGUGUAGUUUUCAGUAGGUGUCCUUUCUGUUUGUCUGAAUCUACUUCAAUUUUUUAGUGGAUGUAUGUUUGAAUGUUUUCAAUUUCAAUUUCAAUAAAUAUCUUAGUUUUCGAUUACAUCGAACCCAUAUAAUAAAUUUAAAAACCUAGUAAUUAAAGGAAUUUUUAUAAGGGUGAAUCAAGUCCGAAUACGAUGUUAUUUCAUCAUUAGUAUUUGUUUAGUACAAUUAUUGGGAACGGCCAGACUUUUUCUUGCCAUAAAUCUGAAAGGAUAAGCCAUUGGACCACUCUCUGUAACAUCACAUCACCCACAUAUAUUUUCUUCUUUUAUAUGUAUGGAUGUAGACUUGUGAUUUUUAUUUUGGGAUAUUUUUGUGACUGAACAUGGGAUUGAUAAAGAGAUAUGGUGGGGGGGAAUGUUUAUCUUUUUUGUUAAUGUACAGAUAGAUGCCGAGAUGAUUUACUUCAACGUAAAAUUCGAAUUUAAGUUUCAAUUUUUCUCAAAUAAAUAAAACAAUUAAUUUACCUUUACCUUUCAAGUAAUUUUUUUAUAACCAAUAUAUCGUUUUUUAUUAUCUAUUUUUACCUUUUGAAAUUAUCAUUAUUUUUAUAUCCAUUUUAUAAUUUAUAAAAAUUGUUUUUCUUAAAUAUAGUGACUAUCCUUCUCAACUCGUAUAAACUUAACAUCUUUACUAGUUAACAAUUUGGGAACUCCAUCACUUUUUAACUAAUGGCUCCCAUCCAGUAAGUUGGAAUGUGGAUCGUGAUUUGAAUAUCAAUAACAUUCUUUGUCUUAAACAAUAGGUAACGUGGACCCUCAGAGCAUAAGAAACUCUCAUCUCACUUUAAAUGAUUCUAUGGUAUGAUUUAUAUUUUUGAAUGUGAUGCUCUGAUCCUAUCAAACAUGCUAUGCUUUGAUAGCAUAAAUUUGAAGCUUUUAACCAAACAAUAAUAGUUGUAAAUUGCAUUUUAACCCCAUAAAAUAACAAUGUUGCACAAGAGACCAUUCGGUAAUGUUGACAUCAUUCACAGUACUCACUAACAUGGGAGGCCCCGACCAAGGCAUGAAAUGCCUAAACGAUUAAUGUGUUAAUUAUUGCUAUCACAAUUCAUUGAGUUGUAAUUUGGAAUUAGCUUAAUUUGAAUAUAAUGUAUGUAUCAUUUGUUGUAUGUUAUUAGAAGUUUUUAUCAAGAGGUUCAUUGAGUUGUUUCAAGGCUUUCCUUAUCUAUUCUCAAUUCUUUUCACCAUUGUUUCUCUUUUCCUUUUUGCUCUUUUUUGGUAUAAUAAACAUCCCAUUUCAAGAUUUGGGACACUUCAUGUAUAAUCUUGAGUAGUGGUCAAAGAAACAAAAUUUUGUGAUUAUCCUAUAUUGGAGUGGUGAGAGUGCAAUUUUUUCGUAUUAUGUGGUGAGGUUACCAUUUAAUUCUAAAUUUGGUAUUUUGGAUUUUUUUAUUAGGUUUUUGUUUGACAUUCUAGUCAGGUGUUGUAGUUGCUUUUCAUUAAUGGCUCAUUGAUAUGGCUUUAAGAAUUCAUGUCUUAACAUUGAAGUGGAGAUUGAUAGUCUUUUCAGUUUUAGAUAUUUUACAAACAUUGAUGGUUUAGUGUCGAACUUUUGAUAAUUAAUGAAAUUAAAUCUUUAUGUUUUGAGUUAGUGAUUAUCAAGUUUAGGUAUGUUUUGAAAUUGAACAAUCAAGUUAGCGAUUGUGUCUAGAUACCGACAAUAGCCUACUAUUUGUAUCAAUUUAUAAUUAUGUACAGAUAAUUUACUUUAUAAAUGAUCAAAUGAGCGCACUUUUUUAAUGUGACUUUUUUUACAAAAUAAAAAAGAAAAUUUUGUCAUCUUGUUUCUUUCAUGUUGUAAAAUUUUAAGCUUAUCAAAACUAAUUCAAAAUAAAAUUAACUGUACAAGAGACAAUAUUUAACAUUGGUCUAAAAAAUAAUAAAAAUCACUUUAAGAAGAAGGUUAAUUCAACCAAACGUUUUCUUAUCAUUCAGAUUCUAAAUUGAUUUUCAAUAUUUAAAAAAGUUCUGAUUGAAUAUUUAAAAAUAUUAAUAUUGUAUCAAUCAAGUACUUUUCUCAACUUAACCAUUAUUUUAGAUGUUAAAUGUCAGCUCAAAUUUGACCCGAAAUAUAUUUAAAGUACCUAAAUUAAGUUAUAACUUGACCCGAACAAAUAUUUAAGAUCUAAAUUGAUGGAAAAUAUUUGAAUAAUAGAAUUUAAUGAUUUAAUUACAACUUUUUCAAGUUUAAAUUAUAAACCCUUCCUCGCUUUAGCUAGGGUCCAUGGAGUUGAAAAUAGAAGGAUUAAAAAUUAUGAUACGUUAUAAAUUAAAGGGACAGUGUUGCUGUUUUGUCGUUUUUAUGUUGAUGGCUCAGAGUAUAAAUGUGGCUUUCCCCAUUUUCGGAUAAACGAAUUAUGCAUCCAAUUGCAAUCAACAAAUUCUCACCGAUUUAAACACGUAUAUAAAAGAAGGCAUCGCAUCUUGUUGAAGCAUUUAGUGACGAAAAGUUGUCGCCGAACAAACUACACUGGCAUAAACCACAUGGAUAACAUUCUUUAAGAGACAUGAACAUAAAAUACAUAACUGCAAGUAGGCUAUGACUAGGACAAGCACCAUCCAUAAUAUAUAUAUAUGAAUGAUCAGGGUUGAGGUAUCUAAACUAGAUGAGUCGAGUUCAAGCUAUAAUAACGUCACAUUAAAUUUUGGGUUAAUUAAUUUUUUUUAAAAAUUGAGAUUAAUUAAAUUUUUUAAAAAAUUAACGCAAUUUUUUUUAAAAAAUAUAGGAUUUAAUUAAAAUUUAAAAAAUUAGGAACUUUAAAGCUAAAUUCGAAUUUCAAUAGUGUUCCAUUUUUUAUUUGACAAAAAUAUUGAGUAUUUGAGUUUGCUCCAUAAACUCUUCAAUUUUGAUUCACAUAUAUUUUGUUUCAAUUUAGUUUAUAGUACGUAGGAUUUUACUCGAAGAGUAAUACAUUAUUAACCUCUUUAUAUAAGAUAUUAUUUGAGUUUAGCUCAUUCGUUAAAUUGCAAACUUACUUCUAUACAAAAUAUAAAUUACUCUCGCACUAGAACUUUCCCCUUAAAAGUUUAGUCGAAAACUGAACAACACAAUCAACAUACUUACAACAAUUUGCAUUAAAAUAAAUUUAUAAUAAAACAAGAUAAGUGCUUUCUUAAUGAAUUUCUAAUUUUUUGAAUUCUACUCAAUAUAAGUCUCUUAAUGUUGAAUGAACCGAUAGAGAUCUUCUCGGUGUAAUCACUUUUACAAAUCAAAUCUUUUCAAAUAAGAAAACACAAUCACAUUGAAUAUAUUCAAAAUAUCCUUUCUUGACUUGAUUUUCUCCGUAUUUCAACUUCAUCAAAAUGCUCUAAGAGUUGUGAUACCAACAAAAUAUGACAAGUUACAAUGAUCCAUUAUAUACCAACUAAAUUGCAGUUAGAGUUACAUGACACUUGUAAUUAACACUAGGAUUAUAUCUCAUACAAGUAUUCAAAUAUAUUUUUUAAAAACAUGCACGAAUAUAUAUAUAUAAGAAAAGGACUUAACAUGGUUAGUUGUAAAUUUUGGAAGAAUCUAUAUAAUUAUCAGUGCAUAUGUUCACUCUGUCAGAUAUUAUUAAAAAUCAUGGACUGAUAUUUUUAUGACUACUACUCCACUAGGCAAUAGUAUUCCUUUCUGUAGGUUUGCAUGACAUCUAUAGCUUGUGAGGCUUUACUUAUAAAAUGGAAAAACAAAAAAAAAAAACAAUGUGCUAGGGAAUCAAACUUUGUUAGGUUUUUCUAAAUUGAAUAUUGCUGCAUGCAUGCUGUAUACCCUUUAUAUUUUUCUAAAAGAUGGUGGGUACACAAGAUUUUAGGAAUAUAUGUUCCCUUUGCAUCAAAAUUCAGGCUCAUCCAUAUCCCGAAUCCAUCUCAUAUUCUUUUUUUAAUAAUGUUAUUGUUGCUAUUACCGUCAACUAUGAUAGACUCGAUUCAAUCGAAAAGACGUUUGAUUUAAAUCCGUCGAGCAUGAGAGUUUGAUACUAUUCCUUCUCAAAAGGUUCCAACAUUAUUAUAGUUUUGAAACGUGUGAAGUACGUGUGAAAUAUGACGCCCUCCCCCAACAUAGAUAUAUAAGCACAACAAAUGGUUAUUUCUUUUUUAUAGUAUUGGAUUUCUUUCAUAUUAUAGCGAGAGAUUUGGAAGUCAUAAAGGGAAUCCUUGUGCUGGGAUUGUGUUAUUCCAUCGGUUUCUCUUCAUCUUUUACUUUGUGAUAUCUAUCAAUGGCUAACUUAAUAGAGAGAGCAUUUGGGACAAUUAUAGCAGCCAUCGCGCACAGUUUCUUUGGCUACCGAGACAACAAAAAAGGGGUCAGCAACACCAGUUACUACCACAAGAAGCCAAAUAAGGGUCAACCACUUUCUUUGCAGGUUCCUUUUCAUCCCCCCUCCGAAGUAAAUAUGUUUUGUUUUCUUGUCCAUCAUAAGUUACUUGUCUUGCUUGCCUUCACCUUUCACCAUCAUCUUCCCAAACUUUCCCUUCCAUUUUAAUGAUUCCAUUUGAUAGGGCGGGUGUUAUUUGGAUUGAUUUUAGGUUGGAUACUUACACAUGAUAUAAGAUUCCAGAUUUUAUUAUAUUGUUAAAGUUUAUAUAGUAUCUGAGUUUUUUUGCCUAUGUUUAAUUUUACGAGAGCACACAUGUCAGAUAUUCAUCAGGCCACAUGUUGCCAUUUGGUUUGAGUACCAAAUUGAAUAUCGAAGCCAAUCUCAAGUGACAGAUUGAAACAAAACAAAAAACUAAGUACCUAUUAAACAUUGAAGCCAAACUCAAAUACCAAUUGAUAUAUUCAUCUUAUAUUGUUAAUAUCUCUUUCAAGUUUGUCGCAUGAUCUCAUAUUGGUUAAAUCAUUAUAUUCAAGUAUUAAAUCUCGUCCUUUGCCAUCAAUUGAUUUUUUAAAUCAAGAGUUUAAUAUUCGUAAUAUAUGUUGUUUUAUACAAAUAUAUAUAUAUACCAUAAGAGUGAGCGGAAAGAUUUCAUAUACCCAAGAUUUCAACUCCAAACUUACAAAAUGUCACCUGGUCUUAAACCUUCAUGCUAUGUUUCAUGUCAUAGCGAAAUGUUUGAAGCACAAGUUUAAUUUGAACAAUCAAUUCAUUAAUCUUCGACUAUACCAUCUUUUAUGUUGCAAAAAACCUUACAUUUGAGUUAAACACAGCAGCUAAAUAACCUUUAGUGAAGGUAUAGUGUCCUAGGACAAGCUCCCAGUACAGCAUAUUUGUUGGCCAAUCUGAUGGCUUAGAAUCAUAUUUAUUGUACCAACUUUUUAUGUUUUCUACUCUUUAGAAAUAGAAGAAAUGAUAGCAAAAAAAUUAAAAUUUGAAUGUUAUCUUAUAAGAAUAAGUGCAUAAAGAAUCUGCAAACAAAUAAGUUUAAAAAUAAAAAAGACCCAAGAUGGUAUUUCUUAGUGCCUUGGGUUUCCUCUAACUGGAUGAAGCAUAAAGGGAGUUAAAAAAGAAGGAACAAAGGAAUAAGAAGAAAGAUGAAGAGAAUUUGUGAAUAAAUUAGGGUUACAAAUUACAAUACAAGUUGAUAUGGUUUUUUUACAGACAGUGGAUCUGAAAGUGAGGAUGUGCUGCAUUGGUUGUGAGAGAGUAGUCAAAAGAGCCAUUUACAAGCUUAGAGGUAUAUACCUGGACUUUGCUUCUGCUUCAAUUUCUAUUUAUUUCGGUAUCAAAAGAAAAAAAAGAAUCACACGUGUCCAAAUACAAUUCCUUUUUUACUUUAUUAUUAUUAUUAUAUAACAACGGUAAAAUUUCAAUUUUAAUCCUUAUACAAUGCUCAAAUUUGAAUUUUAAUAUUUAUGUUUUAAUUGUUGACAUAAUUUGGUACCUAAGUUUUGAUAAUGUCUUUAGUUAGUCUAAAUGUUUUAUUUUUUGUGUCAAAAAACACAGCCUUUUACUCUCUCUUUUUUUUUUUUUUGAGAUUAUAUAACAAUGAUUAAAUAUCAGUUUUGGUGUCUAUAUUAUGCUGAAAUUUGAAAUUUAAUCUCUAUAUUCUAGUUUUUGACAUAAUUUGAUAUCUCAAUUUCUAUAAGGUCAUUAGUUGAUCUAAAUACUUUUUCAAUUUAAAAUGUUUACGUGAAUUUUUAAUAAUUGUUAACACUGUUACAAUUCUUUGUUAAUUUAAAUCCAUCAAAAUGUUAUUUUUUUUUACAUGGCUAUCAAAUGAACAUUUUAAUUUAAUUUUAAUAUGUCAUACUAAUGAAUUUAACAGAAAAAAUUGUAACGUAAUAACUGGACCUAAAUUUUUAAAUUUGAAAAAUAAAGAAACUAAAUUCCUAAAAGUAAAAAAAUAAAAAAAUAAAUUUCAAAUAUAUGAAAAAUAUAAAAAACUUUCAAAAUUUUGCUUUAUAAUUUAAUUAAAAAAAAACCCAACGCGAAGGAUAAAUCCAUUUUACGGAUUACAAGUUUAUAUACUAAAUCGUUAACCUUUUUUACUGCAGAAAAUUGUUAAAAAUUUUAACAUUAACUUAGUAAAAAAUAAAAAAAUUUAACAUACAAAUUUGGAUUGCUUAAAUUUCCUCCGAUUUGUCAUGGAUUUAAUAAUGGUUAAUUCGGUAAUAAUUAAUUAAAUAUUUAAAAAUGAAUAAAUUGAUUUAAUUGUGGAUUGUUUGUCCUAAUUUCUAGCUUUUUUUUUUUUAUCAAUUCCAAACUGUUCCUACUUUUAACCAUUCAAUUCCUUAUUCGAAUAAAUACAUGGAUUAGUCUAAUUCGAUCUAGUUGGAACAUCCAUGUAAUUCUGCGAAUUGCUUUAAGAUAUUUUAAUAUUUUUAAUAUUUUUAUGGAGCCCAAAACUUUUUUCAUUUCAUGCUGACCGUCUGGCAUAACAUUUUCUAUUUACCCUCCUUAAUGAAUGUUGUUUUAGGUGUGAAUUCGGUGGAAGUUGACUUGAAGAUGGGAAAAGUAACCGUGAUCGGACACAUCGAUCGACACAAGGUGCUGAAACAAGUAAGGAGGUCAGGGAAAAGGGCCGAGUUCUGGCCCUACCCUAAUCCCCCAUUGUACUUCAUCUCCUCCGGAGAUUACUUCAGAGACACAACAAAUGAGUUCAAAGAGAGUUAUAAUUACUACAAACAUGGGUACAAUCUCGGACAUCGGCAUGGGAAUAUCCCGGUAACUCACCGAGGUGAUGAUAAGAUCAGCAACAUGUUCAACGACGACAAUGUUAAUGCCGCCUGUUGUCUCAUGUAGAAACCUGAGUAUAAAACAUUUUACUACCCACCCAUUUCCAUCAUGUAAUAUAAUUUGCAUUUAAUGUAAUAUUGAAUAUGCACUGUAUAUAUAAAUAUUUCUACAUAUUUACCUUUUUUUUGUUGGACAUAUUGUAUUUUACUCCUUCCAUUUAGAAAAUAGGUAAAUUAAUCAAUAUAGAUUACAUCAAAGAGCAAACCGGUCAUUUUGUUAAAAAGUUCAUUCAUUUUUGUUAUUAAAAAUUAGUUCAUGUACGUCAAAAUGAGGUACAUGUAGCACGUCACAUGUCAUUGUCUAAUUAUUUCAUCAACCAAGUUAGUUUUUAACAGUACAAAUGAAUAAAAAUUUUAACGGAAAGGACCAAUUGCACUUUAAUUUAUUUAUUUUUUAAGUAAAAUAAACAAAAUCCAAUUUAACUCUUAAUAUAAAGAUUUCCAUAAUAUUUUACCAGUAAAAACUCAAUUUGUUAUAGCAUCUCAAGGGCUUAUUUAAAUUGAAAAAUUUUAAUUGUAAUCGUAUGAAUUUUUUGUAAUAAGAAAUUAUAUAUUAGAGAGUCCUUGGAUCAUGCGAUUUAUUUUCCCUGUUUAUGUACAAGGAUGUAGAUGAUUUGUAGGAGAUAUGAAGUGAUAAAAUGCAUUAUUCUGCUGUGCAUCUUUUGUCUUAAAGAUUUGGAAGAAUAUUUUAAUGAGAUUUACUUUGAUUGGGGCUUAUAGAUAGGAAAUACAAUCCUCUAUGAAGUUUACUCAAAAGGAGUCUUCAUUUUUUAUGCAUUUCUAAGACAAAUGUUUUGCUGCGGAAGUUGAUGCCACAAUUAUCUUACUUCUUAUUCUAUUUUUUAUAUUUACAUUUUGUCAAAUCUUUUAAUGCGAUAUUUGCGUUAAAUUUUCUGACACAAGUUGACACAUUUACUUUUACCUUGCCAUGUGGCACUAUUUGUCAGAAAAAGUAAUCUUUAAAGUAAAGCACCUAUAAUUAAUUAUACCAAUUUUUACUUUAAUCAUAAACCCAAUUAAAAAACCAAAAAUAACUUCUCUUCUUCACCCAAAUUAAAUAUUCUCUAAAGGGUUCUUCGUCUCUCAAGAACACAACUCAGAUCCUAUAGAUCUCUUUCUUUCUUUCCUUAUUUUAUAAACUAGAUAUCUCUUGAAGACUAACAACAGUACCCCAACACCAUACCCAAAACCAAACCCCCCCAAAAUCUAAAAGCAAUAGCCCAAAAAUAGCAAACAACUACAUUCCGGGUUAUGGUCAUCACAAGAAAAAAAUACAUAUAUGUAAUAUAAAGAGAUUUAUGUGUAAAUUAAUAUAAAUAUUCAUAAACCUUUCUAUAGCUAAAGGUGGUCUCUUUUCAAAGAGACACAUAAGUAGUUUUUAGUAAUUUACGUAGAUAAAAAAAAAUGAGAAUUGAAAUGAAUCUGAGAAAAGGAUACUGUAAUCUCUUUUUCUUGUAUGUCUCUAGAUUUGUAUUUUUCUUUUCUUUUUUUGAUUAUUCUGCACACGAAGGAGAAAUAUUUAUUUUUAAUGCCUUUACAAAAUAUCGAUUUCGAAUCCAAUCUAUGGGUUUCUUUGUUUUGAUAGAUUAUUCUUCAAACUUUUGUUUGUUCCACAGAAGCUUACCUGAUAGAAGUUUGUUGACAUAAGUUGUCACUGGUUUAACAUGGUUUGAAAAAAAUACUAGUUAAUACUUCAUAGCUUAUUUGUAUGUUUAUUUAGAUGCUUAGAUCUUUUUGCCAUAUUGAAGUGGUUCAGUUCCUAUAUAUGAACACAAUGCAACUAGUUAUUGGACAUCUCACCUGUAGGCUGGCUGUUGGUUACUACCUAUGGUGGUUUAACCCUUUGUUUUUCCUACAGUAUCUGAAACUGGGGAGAAUAUACGUAUAUGAUCCUUCAAGCACGGAAAGAUCUUGUAAAAAGUUUGGAUGUACCCAUAUUCAACACUUGUACCGGAGUCUAAGUAACAUAGAUUGCUAAAUGUCCUCUUUGAGAAUGGAAGUAUGGUGUUUGUUAUUUGAUUGCAGUGUUAGAAACAUCUCAUCAUGCUUUCUGGAGAAUUAUUUUGGGGUUAACUUCAUAAUCUCUACUAUGAACAAUAUCUUGAUGUGUGCUUUGAUAGAUCAAGUCUGAGCGGAAGCGAGAGUAGUUGCAUCUCUAGAUGUGUGGAUCGAUAUAUUGAGGCCACUAGUAUCGUUGGCAGAGCUAUUUUUAAUGCAUCUCGAUGACAUUUCUAACCAGAAUGUAUAAGCUUCUAAAUUUUCGAUGAAUUGCUAAGGAUGACUGAUAUUUUCUGAAAAUUUUCCGGGGAAUAUUAUACCUUGCAUAUUAAUCUUUGAUUUUGUACUUUACACCUUACAACUAUUUGACUAUUAUAUGUUCUUUGGCCUUUGGCCACAAUGGUGUUUAUGGACCGCCCCUUCUACAAGAGAUUAAGCCUUGUCGAUGGGGUAGAAUGCUUAUUUUUCUGACUCUUCAUUGUCCUUGAAGUGUUCUUAUUCAGCAUCUCUGACACUUCUAAUUCGAAUCAAUGACCAUUCAAGCGAUGUUUCAUCCCAUACUCGAUUUUUGAUCGAAUUUCAUGAUAUCCUAUAACAGGCUUUUGCAAUAUUUAUUUAAUCUACCUGCGGAUCAGUGCACAGAAAAGGAAAGCAUUCCACGUGGUCAAUACUAAGAUGUGACAAAAUCAAACUCCAAUUACACUGGUUUUUUAUAAAAAUAAUAUCAAAAAAUAAAAAAUUACCAAAAUGUUAUAACUUUUUUUUAUUUACCAAAAAAUAUAUAAAUUUUUUAUUUACCAAAAUAUAUAAAAAAAACUAAAAAACAAAAAAAAAACCUGAACUGAUUUGACAACUCCCUGGGUGGAGGGAAGCAGGUUGGCGGCACCAAACAAGGGAAGCAGGUUGGCGGCACCAGUUGAGGCAACCCUGUUGGCGGCACCACCCUUGAAUUUAAGGGUGGUCAGUUGGUGGGGGAAAGAAGGAGAGGGGAAGAAGAAGAAAGAAAGGAAGAAAGAAAAAGAAGGAAAAGGAAAGGAGAGGAAAGAAAGAAAAAGAAGGAAAGAAAGAGGAAGGGGAGGAAAGAAAGAAAAAUAAGGAAAGAAAAGGAAAGGAGAAGAGAAAAAAAAAAGAAAGAAGAAGAAGAGGGAAUAAGGAAAAAAAAAGAAAAUAAGGUAAUUUUUAUUAUUAAUUUAAGAUUUUUGUAAUAUUUGUGUGUUAAAAAAUAAUGUUAAGUACAUUUUACGUAUUUUAUUAUUUUAUUUAGGAUAUAUAAUUUUUGAGAUAUAUUUAGCGUGAAAAAAUUCAUGGUAUGUACAUUAUAUGUUGAUUAGGAAUUUUUUUUAUGAAAUUGACUUAGGAUGUUGAAAUUAGUUUUGUUAGGAAAAUAACAUUAAAAGUAAAAUGAUAAAGAAAUAUAUUUAAGAAAACAUAAAAUACGAAAAGAAAAAACGAAAAUUAUAUAUUCACCGAAAGUAAGAAAAUGCGAAAAAAAUUAUAUCUUUAAUAAAUUUUAAACAUAAUGCACUGAAAAAGUAUAAAAUUAUAAAAUUUAAAAUGACGAUAUUUUUUAAAAUAAUAAAAUGCGGAGAGAAAAAUACGAACAAAUGGCCAAAAUAAUAGUGUAUUACUAACUUUUUAAAAAAAUAGAAAUAGUUAAUACAAAUAUUUUAAAAAAAAUGUAAUGAAAUAAUAUAAAGUAAUAAAAUAAAAAAAUAAAAAAAAAAUUUAUUGAAAGUAAUAAAAAUUGGGAAAAAAAUACGAGCAAAUGGCAUGGAUAAGGAUUUUUUUUCUUACACCAAAUAAAAAACCCGUUUUUAGUAUUUUUUUAUUUUGGUAAAUAAAAAAUAUAUAUAAUAUUUUGGUAUUUUUUUAAUAUUUUAUUAUUUUUGUAAUGUUUUAUUAUGGGUUUUAUAAAAAAAUAAUAUAAAAAAAUAAAAAUUACCAAAACAUUAUAACUUUUUUUAUUUACCAAAAUAUAUAUAAUUUUUUUAUUUACCAAAAUAUAUAAAAAAAGUAAAAAAACAAAAAAAUAAAAAAAAGGAAAAAAAACACACUAAAUUAAUAAAUUAAUUUUACACUAAAUACACUAAAUAAUACGAGUAAAUGGCAGGGAUAGUGGUUUUUUUACACUAAAUUAAUUUUAAAAACACACUAAAUUAAUAAAUUUAAAACAUUAUGUAAAAUUAUAAAAUUAGAAAUGAAGAUAUUUUUUAAAGUAAUAAAAUGUGGAGAAAAAAAUACGAACAAAUGGCCGAAGUAAGAGGUUUUUACUAACUUUUUUUCAACCUGCAGGCAUCGCAAUGGCUUCAUUGAUUAGCACCAAAAGCCACAUAUCUGAUGCGGUUAAUAACGCGGUAUGAUUUAUUAUUUAUUAAUCACGGGUUCUAUUUAUUUAAAAAGGAUAGACGUAUAAAGAAAUAAUGUUAUCGUAAAAUUUUUUCUGUAAUUUAACACUAUCAGGACUCGUACCGAGUUUUAAGGGGCCGUGUGAGUGUUUUGAAGAAUACUCCGGAUGCACAGUUGAUGCCGUACUUAGAGCUAGCCGGAUUUGGGUCCGUAGCACAGAUCCGGUACACCGUCUUGCGCUUUGAUUUAUUAUCUGCUCUAGUGGAGCGGUGGCGCCCGGAGACCCACACUUUUCAUUUUCCGUACGGGGAGUGCACGGUGACCUUGGAGGAUGUAGCGUUGCAGCUUAGGCUCCCAAUUUACGGGAGUCCUGUAACGGGAUUCCCGUAACGGGAUUAUCUGCAUUUACCGAUCCGGAUGCACUUUGCUAUCAGUUUCUAGGAGACUCACCAGGGGACGGUGAGUCAUAUUUUUCGGGCUUACAAUUUACAUGGCUGAAAGCCAAGUACAGACAAUUAUCAGCGAUAGACACUGAAGGCGAGUUGAUGUGCGCUGCUCGAGCGUACAUCAUACAUAUCAUAGGGGGAGAAAUCAUGCCUGAUGCAAACAACGACAAGGUGCAUUUGAUGUACUUGCCCUUGUUAGCUAACUUGUCCAGUGUUAGCUCCUAUAGCUGGGGCUCAGCCGUGCUAGCAGUCUUGUAUCGAGAGCUUUGUCGGGCGACAGAUCCGAAAGUUCGCGACAUGGGCGAAUGCCUCUCACUGCUGCAGUACUGGGCGCUGUAUCAGAUGCCAUUUUUGGCAUCGGUUAGACACCAACCGUAUGUUUAUCCACUGCUGAACAGGUAAUAAAAUAUAACUUCUCAUUAUUUGUAAUCAUAAUAUAUUUACUAAUGUUACCAACUCUAAACGCUAUAUUUGUUUUUUGUAGGUGGAGUGCUCGUCCGGGUAUCAGGAAGUCGUACAAUGUCCCGCUAUACCGCCUCAUGGUUGAACAGUAUGCCCGGGAUGGGGAGAUGCUAUUCUAAUAUUCAUGCUAUUCUAAUAUUCAUGACAUCUUACUUUCUAUAUCUUACGCACACGUUAUGGCUAAUUAUAAUCAUGUUAUUAAUCAUGCAGUUUAUAUGGACGCCGUACCGAACGCCAGAAAUUACAGCCGUGGUACCCUCGUCUGCGUACGUGCAUUCGUACAUAUGGUGCACUAACGCACCAAUUAUAAAUUUCAACAUGGUCGAGUGGUAUCACGGGGAUCGGGUGCUACGGCAGUUUGGCUUCAUCCAACCUAUCCUGGAUCCGCCGUGUGAGGUGGGAGAAGUUCACGGCAAGAAUAAGAGAGGAAAAUCGAUGAUAGAUUGGGGAAUUAAGCACCGAAAAUUUGUGGCGCUGUGGAACGAUCGAUUUCGUCGAAGACCUCAGAUGGUUAUGGCUACCGACUCGCAACCAUCAUUAGAGUAUAUGCAAUGGUACUAUAGUUGCGGGAAGCCAUAUUUAUUCAGAGGCCAGUCGAUUGUAAUCCCCCAGCACAUGCAGCGACAUGGGAGAUCGGCCACAGCGACCCAGCAUGAUCUGGAUCCCAUGGCAUAUUAUUCUCCGGAACCACCAGAGCCCGAGCAGGAACCCCAGCCAGAUCCGAAACAAUCUGGAUUUGUCGGUUCCGAAACAAUCUGGAUUUGUCGGUUCAGAUAGCUAUCAUCCGGAUUUGUCAGGCACUGACAAUUUACCGAGCUUCUCAGGGCCAGAAUAUGCAUACGUCUUCGAAUUAUUCGGAUCCUACUCGUCCGGUCCAUAUCCGCAGCAUUAUGGGACUCCCUCAGGUGCAUCAAGUUCGUCGCUGCCGAACGAGGGACCUGCUCAAAAUGAUUUCCUCCCUAUUUUUACUACACCACCACCUGCGCCAAAUGAUAAUGUCGGUCGUCGCGGGCACCCAGAACGUGACCGUCGACCUCCGAAUAGGUAUACCCCUAUGACUACACCAUCGAACCAUCAAUUUUAGGGGUGUAUGGCACAUGUUUGUACAUUAACACGUUUGUACUUUUUUGUAUCAAUUAAAUUAUUCUAAUUUAAUUAUUCUAGUUUUAGUUAUUGUGCUUAUUGUUCAAUUUCUUUUUACCAAUUUAAUUAUUUUAAAGUUGCAUUAUAUUAAAGCUUAAUUUAAGGUUAUAUGCCUCCAUUUUCGAUAUAAUAUUAAUAAUUCCAAACGCCAUAUACUAUUUUAUAACUUAAUUUUGAUACAAUGUAAUCAUAAUCAUUUGUAUAUUUUUUUAUCAUUACACAUAAAAAUUUUACAAUAUUAGGUCAAUUACGACCCGAUUCGGACGACUGUCCAACAUGAAAGUUUCGGUUAUGGCAUUUAUUCUGACUAUGACCACUUAACCUGCAUAUUCCACAACGCUUUCCGUCGGACUUCUCCCUUAUGUCCAUUUCAUUACGGAUUCUGCUUGACUGCGGAUGACCUCUCGGAUUCCUCCGCAGCCCUCUGUCUGGGAGAAGCUCGAAAGUCGUCAAAGGCACCUCCCACGUUGAUAGGUCAGGCAAGACGGGGAACUCAUUUUCCCAGACACGCAAUGUGCGCUCCAGCGUGUACACAUCAUCGACAUAUUGUUCAACAUUGACGUUAACUUUAGCACACGCUGCUACGACAUGCGCACAGGGAUAAUGAAGUGUUUCGAACCUUCUGCACUAGCACCGUUGGUUCCGGAGAUCAACUCCAUAGGACCUAGUUGGUAUACCAGGUCGACGGCUGAUGCUCUUAGUAACUCGAAAUGUUUCCAAUCGUCGUGAAUAUAUUUCUAUAUUCAUUGACCUCGCCAACCGACGGUUUACGACCAUUGUAUCCCUGACAUGUUCGACAAACACGUGUCCCGCCUCAAUCUGGUCGACUUGCUGCUGACCCAUUCUUGGCAUCAAAGUAGCCAGCCUGUAGAAAGUAGUAGAAAAUACAGAUGCAAUCGGAAGCUGACGUGUUUUUAACAAAACAACGUUGAUCCCCUCGACUAAGUUUGUGGCCAUUUGGCCAAAACGAAAGCCCUCGUCAAAACUUUGAGCCCAUUGCCACAGCUCCAUUGUGCUCAACCAUUGUCGGAAAGAUGUGUUUGUCUAUCCCUCCAUGUCACUCUCAAGUCGGAUCAUUUUUUGCCGGAACAUAUGUGGCUCUAACUCGUACGCUACAUACGUAUUAAGAAAAAUAAGUUCUAGUAACUCGAUAACAUGCCACAUUACAACUUAUAUUGAAAAUAUAAGGUUAUCAUUUAUCCAUUGCCACGACUUGUCUCUUCCAGUCUGCAUUCUUGUAAUCUUUGUGGAAGUUAGUCGCAAUGUGACGGAUGCAGUAAACGGAUCUUCACGGCACACCGGAACGCCUAAUUGCAGCAAUUAAACCCUUCCCUCUAUCGGAGAUGAUGCAAAUGUUAUCGUUGCUAAUAAUAUACCUCCGCAGGUUUAUGAGAAAGAAUUCCCAAGACUCCAUGUUCUCUUUAUCUACGAUAGCAAAUGCUAUCGGGAGCACGUUUCUGUUGCCAUCUUGAACAACCGCAAUAAGUAGGAUCUGUGUAUAUUUUUCAUACAGCCAGGUCCCAUCUACCUGGACAAGUGGCUUGCAGUGGGGAAAUGCCCGCAUACAUGGAUCGAAAGUCCAGAACAUUCGAUGGAAAAUCCUUUUUACUGACUGUAACUGGCCGUCCGGGCUGUAAUAUGGUCUUGUCUGCAACUCAAUCACAGUCCCCGGUACAUACUCUCGCAUAGCAGCUAUCCAACCUUGAAGCUCAUUAUACGAUGAAUCGUAAUCCCCAUACAGUUGCUCCAUCGCCAUCUGUUUAGUAAUCCAUGCCUUCCGAUAUGAGACUCGAUACUGGAAUCGUGCUUGUAUUUCAGCAAUCAAUACCAAAACUUUAAUGGUCGGCAUGUCCUUCACCAUUGGCAUGAUACACGUACAGAUUAUUUUUGAAUCAAGUUUUCCAUGAUCUUCUGUCAUACGUGUUGAUGUGCAUGUAUGAGGACCAACAAAUUUUUGUAUCUCCCACAUCUGAGAACUUUUAAUGAAUGUAGCUCGCACCCGCCAAUUGCAGCCUUCCGCUGCCUUCCAACACUCCCCAACAUAUAUUGUCGGAGUAGACACUUCGACUUUAUAAUCAACCGAUAUAUUCAUGCUGUACCGUUUGAUGGCAUAUACGCACUCUUCUUUACAGCUGAAUCCCUGGCCUAUGAAUAACUCCUCAUCAUCAGAUGUUACGGCCAGCCCGUGACGAUGAACUACUUCAGGGUACUCUGGGAACCCAGCUACAUACGCUGCGUCGGGGUCUAUGAGCGACAUGUGUGGCCCAGGAUUAUUGUGUAUCAAAAUAUGCCGCAUCUGCUCCCCGAUCGAAGAAGCGCUAAUGUCUUCAUCGUCGAUAUCAUCAGGUACAUCGUCCACAUCGGGAUCACCGUCACUAUCGACCUCUUCAUCCCAAUGAUCGCCACCACCUUCUUCUUCGCAACCACAUUCUUCUUCACCACCAACCAUAUCAACAUCGGGUGUAAUAUUCAGGUCGAUACCCAUCCCACCCAUAGUCAAUUCACUAUCAACGUAUGAUAUUGGAGCCACCAUCCACGGUUCUUGAGCUCCGUGUUCUUCAUCAGAUGCAUUGACAUCUUUUUUUUACUCCAUACCGGCUAACUCAGCAAAUAAGUGAAUCGGUGCAUUCUUGUCACUCUCAUUCCCACAGUAGAGAUCGACCAUUGUCUCAAUGUCUUCGUCGUCUGCAAGUUCCAUUUCGACGAAUUUGACUGGAUUUGUCGAAACUGGAAAUUUGUAGAAAAUUUUUACUAUCCUUCUCCCACAACGUCUUAAAAUUUUUGCAUUAAUCAUUGCAUUCAUUUCAUCAAACGAGACAUUUCUAUUAAAUCUCAUUGCUAUUUGUUGCUGACAUUCAAAUACACAUCCAACACUUGUUGUCAAGAUGACUCCGUCGAAAUAAACGCAUACAAAAAACUUAGCAUCCAUCUUCAAUAUUUAAUCUGUCAAAAAAUAAACAAAAUCUCGUAAAACAUCUCGCACGGAUAAUAAAUAACUUAAAUAAAAAAAUUAAUGUUUCAAUAUUCAAUUUUGUACAUGAAAGCCAUUUAACCACUAAUCCUAAUAACUAACACAAUAAUAAUAUUAAUAAUUUUAUAUACAAAAUAAUACUAACUAAAAUUAUUAAUAACUAACUAUAAACAUAAUACUAGUUUUUUACUAACAAUAAUACUAAGUAACAUCUUAAUAAUAAUAAGAAUAAUAAUAAUAAUAAUAAUAAUAAUAAUAAUAAUAAUAAUAAUAAUACUAUAAAAUUUUUAUUUUUUUGUAAUAUUUUGGUAAAAAACCCUAACUAAAACUAUCAAUUUGAGUUUUAUUGAUUUUAAUCUUAAUAACUAAACUAAAACCAAAAAAAAAAAAAAUACAAAUUAUACAAAACAAUAACAAUAACAUAAUCAAUUAUUUUUAAAAAAAUACAUUAUUUUUCUCUUCUCUUUCUCUGUUUUUCUCUUUUUUUCCGCAACACCUCUUCUUUCUUUUCUUUUUCUUCUGAUUUUUCUUAUUUCAGCUGGACAGAGGUCGUGUUAAUAACACGAGUAGUGCCGCCAAUCUGGUUGGCCGGACUGGUGCCGCCAACCUGGUUCCCUCGACUGGUGCCGCCAACCUGCUUCCCUUGUUUGGUGCCGCCAACCUACUUCCCUCCACCCAAGGAGUUGUCAAAUUAGUUCAAGUUUUUUUUUCUGUUUUUUAUUUUUUUAUUUUUUAUUUUUUUGAUAUAUUUUGGUAAAUAAAAAAAUUAUAUAUAUUUUAGUAAAUAAAAAAAAGUUAUAACAUUUUGGUAAUUUUUUUAUAUUAUUUUUGUAAAAAACGCCCAAUUACACCUAUUUCCUACUACCAACAAUCCUACUACCAACAAUCGUCUUUGGUCAUAUUACCACAGUGGAAUACUUUUCCAGCCUUACCUUUUUCUUUUUUCUCACCAAGGCUGCUGUUGUCAAUCUAAUAUCAUGAAUCAACUUGUCUUUAUUUUACACAGAAAAGAAACACCUUUUUUUAUAGGUUAUUUCCUUUUUUUAUAUGUUCUCAACUUCUCAUGACAAAGAAAGGGGGGAAGAAACCUUUCUCUUGCAUUCCCAUGAGCAUUAUCAAAACCUACAUCCCUGCUAUGUUCUUUUUAAACCUUGUAAACUACGUAAAGUCCUUAUUCAAAUACGCAUUUACUCGUCUGGGUCUUUUCAAACAACCUCCGCCAGAAGAAGAUGAUCAUACCGGCGACAGUUAUGUCCUUUUGACCGACAGUCGAAUCGGGUCAAUAGUCCUGGUCCCUGUCCAGGUUGUUACAGCGAUGAUCAUGACCAACCUGCCGAUUAUUGUGUACGGUGAUUUCGUCAAAAGGUUUGGAGAUGAAGUGAUGAAGAAGGAUAGGGUAUGCAGUGUGUGCUUGGAAGCAAUGGAGAAAAGGGAUGAGAUGAGAGAGCUUUGCAAGUGUAGCCAUGUGUUCCACAAGGAAUGUAUAGAUAGAUGGGUAAAGGAGGGGAGGCUCACUUGUCCCUUGUGUCGCUCUGCUUUGUAUCCUGGUCCUAUGGAUUUCGGUCGGCCAGACCCCCGCAACAGUUUCUUGGACUGUGACCACUACACCAAAACAGGCUUUUAGCGGCGCUUUUUUAAGCCUUUAGCGGCGCUUUUUAGCUCCACAAAUACUUUUAGCGGCGCUUUUAGAAGCGCCGGAAAAAAUGCCGCUGAAGAACGCGUCGCUAACUUUAGCGGCGUUUUUUUUCUAAAAACGCCGCUAAAGACAAGGACCUUUAGCGGCGCUUCUACCACAAACGCUGCUAAAGACCAAGACCUUUAGCGGCGCUUUUCCCACAACGCCGCUAAAGACCAGGUCCUUUAGCGGCGUUUUUUCCACAAACGACCAAGACCUUUAGCGGCGCUUUUCCUAAAAACGCCGCUAAAGACCAAGACCUUUAGCGGCGCUUAUACCACAAACGCCGCUAAAGACUAAGACCUUUAGCGGCGCUUUUACCACAAACGCCGCUAAAGACUAAAACCUUUAGCGGCGCUUUUUAUCACAAACGCCGCUAAAAACAGAAUCUUUAAAAAAAAUUAUUUUAAUCAAAUAAUAUUUAUUUUUAUGAUAAAUAUUAUAUUAUAUUAUAUUAUGUUUUAUUUUUUAAAUUUGAACUUUAAAUAUACUUUUUAAGGAUAAAUAAAAAAUAUUAUUUAAAUUAAAUUUUCUAUGAAAAUUUUAACUUUAAAAUUAAAUAUAAAAAUUAAUGAAUUUAGUUUUAGAAUUUAGGGCCGUAAAUUAAUAAGACAAUUAAAAUCCAAAAGUUAGAACUCAAGUUGUCGCAAAUAUUAAAGUAAAAAUAAAAAUUUAGAAUCAAAACUAAAAUAAACAAUGGAAAGAUAGCUCAAAUGUAAGUUUUUGCUACAAGUUACACAGACAAUAACGAAAAAUUAAACACCACACAUAAAAUUUAUCAAACUAGUUAAGAAAUACAUGGUGCAGCCAUGCAAUAUAAAUAGUUAAGAAAUACAUUGUGCAGCCAUGCAGUAUAAAUACAAUAGAAUCAUAGGGUAAUUUUGCAUAAAUAUCUUCAGAGUACCAAGAACAAUUUGUCACAAAAUUAUAAAACAUGAAAAAAAAAAACAGGUAGCAGACAAGCUAAUUGUUACUUUUUGUUUUGCUUCCAAGGCUUCCUCAGCUGCCUUCAUCUUGGCAACAAAAUCAUCUUCAUCAUCCCUGCUUAAGAAAACAAAGAACCUAUUGUUAAACAAUUUAGAACUUGAAAAAGAAAAGAACCAUGUUACUCGGACAUAGGUAUGAGUGUUAGGUGUCAGUAUAAAGACAUGUCAGAUAUGGGUAUGAAGGCAUGUCUGAGAUGAGUAUGUUCAAUUUUUUUUCCAAGUUUUCCCACAUCCAUGGGUUCCGAACACUGGUACUUAAAUCAUAAAGAGUCGGAAUAAAAAGCAUAACCAUAAUAAUAAAGUAUGAACCUAAAAGAGCAAGUACAUUCAACAACAGAUGUCUUGAUAAUGAAUCAGCAUAACAAGCAAUUCGUAGGCUAUGAUCAAUGACCCCAUGAAUAAUUAAAAAAACCCCAUGAAUCAGCAUGUUCAUGAGUCAAAACAAUCUACAGUUCAUACAGUAAUCAGUACUAGUUUUGAAAUUCCAUUCAUCAACAGAAGAGAUUAUAUUUGUAAAAAAAAAAAAGCACAAAGCCAUCAUAUACAUCAACAAACUCCCUAUAAAUCCUAUAAAAAAAACAUGAGAACAACUAAAAAUCAUAUACAUAAAAUAAGAUAGAUACUCUGCAAAGACACAGCACAAAAACCCAGCAAGACAGAUCAAAUUUUAAAGCAAAUUUUAAAGCAAAUUGCUGCUGAAUUAUAAAUAAAAUAAGGGAAGAAGAAACAGGCAACCUUAAAACCAGAUCUGACGGCGAAAUCAGUGGUGGUAGUAUUAUUAAACCAUCCAAAUGCAAUCAAAAUCACGUUAUUAUUAUUUUUCUAUUAUUUGUAUAGCUUUGGUUCAUCAAACUAAACUAGAAGAAUAGCUCGAAAUAAGAACUAUAGUUUUUAAGUGUAACAAAACAUACAAAUUGAGAAAAGAUACCAUAGAACUCUCUUAUGCUUGCUUUCCUUUCAUGUGUAGACAUGGUGGUAGUACCAUCGACAUAAACCUGCAUGAUAUGAUAACGAUGAAGAAACAGCUAAUUUUCACUAUUACAUCAAGAGAUAAACAUGAAGUAACAAAAUAUAACCUUGUAAAUUAAGAUUCUUAACAGCCCGAGUGCACCUGCAAGGUGAAAGUCAGUCCACUGCACCAAGAAUAGGAAGAGGUGUGCAGUCGGACUGUAUGACAUUCUCAUUUGAAGGCAUUCACCGUCAUAUUCCCUCGGAAAAUCAGAAGCCCUGCACCUUGCAUUACACGAUGGCCAUUUACACAGGAUGAGAAGAACAUAAUUAANNNNNNNNNNNNNNNNNNNNNNNNNNNNNNNNNNNNNNNNNNNNNNNNNNNNNNNNNNNNNNNNNNNNNNNNNNNNNNNNNNNNNNNNNNNNNNNNNNNNNNNNNNNNNNNNNNNNNNNNNNNNNNNNNNNNNNNNNNNNNAAAAAAAUGGCACUCAUAAUUAAGAAAUAUAGUGUCCAAUUGGGGAAAAUAAGUGCCAGAUAAAGAAAUUGAACUCAACCUAUCAUUUAACUAGAAAUAUUAAAUGCAUUACUCACUUAAAAUAAGCUGGAAGAACCUCACCUGGUUCAUUAUUAUACAAGUUCUUUUGAAGACUACACAUAACAUUGUAUGAAUAGCUGAAAAAGAAGUCCUUUGUAAGAUCCACUGAGCUUAGGAGCUUCUUGUACCUAAACAAAAAUGAAACAACAAAUAUCAAAUUACAAACCAUAUGUGUAAAAUGCAUAGCAGAAUAAAAGCACCUGGGUUAAAAACAAACACAAACGAGACUCUAUCACAUACAGACAAUUUUCUACUUUUCACACAACAGAACAUAAUAGAAUAGAACAUCUUUCUGCAAAACAAUGACUCUCUAGCUGUAGACGCAGUUCUUUAACAGAAUAGAAGAAUACCUGUUCUCUUUCCUAAAGUCCGUAAUGCUUGGGUUAACAGAUGAAUUUGGGAGGGGAAUCAUCUCACUUUUCGAAACUGCAUAAACAUUGUGUCUGAAAAGUAUUAUUACAAAUUUAAUAAACCCUAAAACAUUACCCAAGAAAAAUUAUUGGAUAAGAAUUUACAUAACAUUAACAGUCCCUAAAGUCAUAUUACAAAUUUGCAAACAAACAUAAUUUAUAGCAAUACGCAUAUUUACACAACAAAAAAGAAGAAGAAGAAGAAAAAAGAUUUUUUUAAGCAAAGACAGAAAAAGAAACUGAAACAGAGAUUCUUCACCUUCUUCGACCUUUUUUUUAUCUCUUUAUUUCAGCGAACAGCCUUACUCCCCCUCUUCGUUUCCUUUAUCUUUCAACUCCUCUUCCUCCGAUUUCCUUUAUCUCUUUAUUUUUCUUAAGAAAAUCUAAAUCAUAAAGAAAAGAAAGCAAAAUUGGAAGCAAAACAGAGAAGAAGAAUGAGAGAAGAAUAUGAAAAGCUUACAGUGACAGAACAACCCAAAAAACAGAUGAAGGCAGCCAAGUCGAACACAAAGAAUACAAUAAUAAUGGAAGAAGGAGACGCAAAUAUAUCUUCUGCUUCAAAACAUGGAAAGGUUUUGUUCAAAUCUCUUUUCAUGCUUCUUCUUGGUGGGUUUAGACUUUAGAAUUGAUGUGCAUCUCCAUGCCUUAAACUGCAGGUUGAUGAUGAGUGCGUAGAAAGUUUUAUGGAGCAACUUAAAGCCAAAGUGAAGAGUAAAGUAGAUUAUUCAGACUUCCAAAUCUUAGAAGAGGAUUUAGGGAAGGAUUUGAGAAUGGUUGGGAGAUUUAGUGUUCCGCUACGCCUGGCUCUUAUUGUAAACAGAAUCAAAGAUGGGUUUGGCUUCACUUGGGAAGAAACACAGAGUUGAAAAACUUCUGGGUUUCUUUCUUGGAUGUGGGAAAUUAGGGAUUUUAGGGGGGGAAGUUGGGGAUUUCGGGGGGAGGGGGGUAGGGAAUUAAAAAAAAUGGCAUUAUUUUUUUAAAAGUAAAUUUUAUUUUGUGGCGUUUUUUAUAAAAACGCCGCUAUUGCUUAUCUAUUGCGGCGUUUUUUACACAAACGCAGCAAAAAAUUAUUUUAUUUGGAAUAAAAUGAGGGAAUUUAAAAAAUGGCGCUAUUUUGUUAAAAGUAAAUUUUAUUUUGUGGCGUUUUUUUAUAAAAACGUCGCUAUUGCUUAUCUAUUGCGGGCAAAAAAUUAUUUUAUUUGGAAUAAAACGACACUGUUUUGUUAUAUAAAAUCUAAAUUUUUAAAAUAAAAUUAUUUUUGUGGCAUUUUUGUAAAAAACGCCAUAAAAAAUUAUUUCAUUUGGAAUAAAACGACACUAUUUUGCUAUGCUAAAAAUCUUUUAUUUUGUCUGUUAAAAAUUAUUAGUUAAGUGAUUUUAUAAAACAUUUAUUAUUUUUUUAUAAAUUAAAAUUUUAUAAAAAAAUCAAGUACUCUCAAAAUAAAUAUCGUAUAUUUUAAUAAGAAAAAAAUGAUUAAAUGGCUGUACUUAAUUAUUAAGUUAGAAUUAUUCAAUGUAAGCAAUUAAUCUCUCACAUAUCAAGUUUCUAUUAAAGAUUGAGACAUUAAUCAUGAUUUUAUAUUGUUCAUUUCCGAUCUAAUCUCCAUUUUAUUAGAGAUAUUGUAACACCCCUUACCCGUAUCCAACACCGGAAUAGGGUACGAGGCAUUACCAAAACACAUACGCUUGUAAACGUAUUUAAGUGAGUUAUAAAAUUUCAACUAAAUUAAAACUUUCAAAAUAAUUAGAAUGCUUCUAUAACUUUUCACAAUAUAUCCUCAAAAUAUUAUAAUCAUAAUAAUUAGGGCCUACGAGACCCGGUACAUACUCAUACAAUUCNNNNNNNNNNNNNNNNNNNNNNNNNNNNNNNNNNNNNNNNNNNNNNNNNNNNNNNNNNNNNNNNNNNNNNNNNNNNNNNNNNNNNNNNNNNNNNNNNNNNNNNNNNNNNNNNNNNNNNNNNNNNNNNNNNNNNNNNNNNNNNNNNNNNNNNNNNNNNNNNNNNNNNNNNNNNNNNNNNNNNNNNNNNNNNNNNNNNNNNNNNNNNNNNNNNNNNNNNNNNNNNNNNNNNNNNNNNNNNNNNNNNNNNNNNNNNNNNNNNNNNNNNNNNNNNNNNNNNNNNNNNNNNNNNNNNNNNNNNNNNNNNNNNNNNNNNNNNNNNNNNNNNNNNNNNNNNNNNNNNNNNNNNNNNNNNNNNNNNNNNNNNNNNNNNNNNNNNNNNNNNNNNNNNNNNNNNNNNNNNNNNNNNNNNNNNNNNNNNNNNNNNNNNNNNNNNNNNNNNNNNNNNNNNNNNNNNNNNNNNNNNNNNNNNNNNNNNNNNNNNNNNNNNNNNNNNNNNNNNNNNNNNNNNNNNNNNNNNNNNNNNNNNNNNNNNNNNNNNNNNNNNNNNNNNNNNNNNNNNNNNNNNNNNNNNNNNNNNNNNNNNNNNNNNNNNNNNNNNNNNNNNNNNNNNNNNNNNNNNNNNUUGAUCAGAUAAGUGUAGCCGAAGCUAUCACUUAUCACUUUCCACUUGUCACUUGAUCAGAUAAGUGUAGCUGAAGCUAUCACCUAUCACUUUGUCACUUGAUCAGAAGUACUCAAAUCCGGCGUUCCGCUCAAUUUGAUCAUUUAUUCAAUUUUCGUAUUUUUAUUUUACUCUCUUUUCAACACUAAAUACAUUUCAUCAUACAUUAUAUAAUUCAUGAAAUUAACAUUUAAUCAUUAAAUUUCAGUCAUAUGAACUUACUAUUUCAUUAUCUUACCACACUUGUUUCCUAUACACAUCACACAAGAUAUAAACNNNNNNNNNNNNNNNNNNNNNNNNNNNNNNNNNNNNNNNNNNNNNNNNNNNNNNNNNNNNNNNNNNNNNNNNNNNNNNNNNNNNNNNNNNNNNNNNNNNNNNNNNNNNNNNNNNNNNNNNNNNNNNNNNNNNNNNNNNNNNNNNNNNNNNNNNNNNNNNNNNNNNNNNNNNNNNNNNNNNNNNNNNNNNNNNNNNNNNNNNNNNNNNNNNNNNNNNNNNNNNNNNNNNNNNNNNNNNNNNNNNNNNNNNNNNNNNNNNNNNNNNNNNNNNNNNNNNNNNNNNNNNNNNNNNNNNNNNNNNNNNNNNNNNNNNNNNNNNNNNNNNNNNNNNNNNNNNNNNNNNNNNNNNNNNNNNNNNNNNNNNNNNNNNNNNNNNNNNNNNNNNNNNNNNNNNNNNNNNNNNNNNNNNNNNNNNNNNNNNNNNNNNNNNNNNNNNNNNNNNNNNNNNNNNNNNNNNNNUACAUACCUUCUUACCAUAAAAUUUUCAGAAUUUUUGGUUCAGCCAAAUAGUACAGUUUAUUCUUUAAAGUUUUCCCUGUUUUGCUGUCUGACAGUUCCGACCACUCUUCACUAAAAAUUAAUUAUCUCAUUGUACAUAAUUUGGAUGAUGUUUUAGUUUGUUUCUUAUAAAAAUAGACUCAUUAAGGAUUCUAACCAUAUAAAUUAUAACUCAUAAUCAUUUUUGUACAAUUUUUAAUGAUUUUACAAAUUCAGAACAGGGGAACCCGAAUUCAUUCUGCCCUUGUCUCACAAAAUCUAUUAUAUCUCAUGAUUUACAAUUUCAUUACUUACACCGUUUCUUCUAUGAGAAACUAGACUUAAUAAGCUUUAAUUUCAUAUUUUAUUCACCCUCNNNNNNNNNNNNNNNNNNNNNNNNNNNNNNNNNNNNNNNNNNNNNNNNNNNNNNNNNNNNNNNNNNNNNNNNNNNNNNNNNNNNNNNNNNNNNNNNNNNNGGUGAUUUUUCAAACUCAGACCACUGCUGCUGCCCAAAACUGUUUAGUGUAAUAUAUUGAUUACCAAUUUGACUCUAAACUUUUAAUACAUGAUAAUUUCGUCCCUGGGCUUGAAAAAUGAAAUUCUUGCAAUAUAAUCCUUAAUUCAAGCCUAGUAUUUCUCAUACAUAUCAAUAACAGCCCAUAGAUUCCAUGAAAUUUUAGAAUUUAUCCAUGAUUUAAUCCCUAAAACAUGUUUUCCUCUAAAAUUCUUUAAUAAAACACCUUUAAACAUCCAUUAACAUAUCAAUUUCAUCAAAAAAUAUCAACAAUCAUAUGAACUUAUCAUUAGUAUCUUCCAAAACUUUCAACAAAAUGAGAAACUAGUAGAAUACUAAGUUGGACCUAAUUGUAAAAAUCUAAAAAUAUAAAAAUUUCAAGGACAAAGCAAGAAUUAAACUUACGUGAAGCCAAAAUAUGGAAUACCAGCUCCAAACCCUCUUCCAUAGCUGUCUCCCACCGAAAUUUCAAGAAGAAAUGGUCUUGAAAUGCUUAAAAUAAAAUUUGGCCACAUAAACUUUAUUGUAAUUCCAAUUUUGUCCUUAAUACAUAAAAAUCUUAGAUUUUUUUUAACGGUAUGUCAUCUCAGCCCCUAAAUUGGUCCAUUUUCUCUUUUAGUCCUUCCUUAUUUAAUUGUUAAGCUAUUUAAUCACUUUAGCAAGUUUUGCAUCUUUUCAACUUAGUCCUUUUUAAUUAAUUAACUGCCAAAACAUUAAAAUUUUCUGACGAAACUUUAACACUACCAUAUUGACACUCCGUAAAUAUUUAUAAAAAUAUUUACGGCUCGGUUUAUAAUAUCGAAGUCUCGAUACCUCUUUUUCUCAAUUUCUUGACUUAAUAAAUUUUUAUAAAAUACAAAUUACUAAUUUAAAAAUCUCUUAAAAAUCAUAUUUGGCUCGUAAUUAUUGAUAAUAAAAUUUACGAGCUUAUUUUCUGAAUUUGGUGAUCUCGUACCACUGUUUUCGACAUUUUUGAAAAUCGGGCUAUUACAGAUAUUUCUUCCUAACUAAAAUAUAAUUAUUUUACUAGAUGUUCGAUGUGGAAUGAUUUUAGUUUUUGUAUUUUAUUUUUAUUUGCUAUAAUUUGGUCCUAUAUAUCCAAAAUAGAUAGUUACCUAUCUGUAUCAAUUUGUUACAUAUUUUUAUUAAUUUUUUUAAAUCUAAUAUUUAAAUAUAUCAAAUGGUUUAGAUUAAAUAUUUUUUAGUUAUAAACACCGCUAAUGUUACAUUUUCCGGCGUCUACAGAAGAAACGCCACUAAUAAAUUAAAUUCUUGUAAUGAAACGACACCGUUUUGAAAAAUUCUAAUACAUAUUAGCGGCGUUUUUGCUAUAAACGCCGCCAAAGCUCGCAUAUUUUAUAAUUUUUAAUAUUCAAUUAUUGUAUAUUGCAUAUCAAUUUUAAUAUAUAAAUUUAUUAUUUCUCUUUUACAAUUAUAUAAGAACUUAUUUAAUAUAUAAAUUAAAAAAUACUAAUUAAUCUAAACCUUAAACCCUAACUCGGCCCUGAAUCUCUAAACCCUAAAUCACUAACUCUUAACCCCAAACCCCAAACCCCAAACCACUAACCUCUAAACCUUAUUUAAUAUAGAAAUUAAAAAACACUAAUUGAUCUAAAUCAUAAACCCUAACAUGACCCCAAAUCCCUAACCCCUAAACAUUAUUUAAUAUAUAAAUUAAAACACACUAAUUAAUCUAAACCCUAAACCCUAACCUAACACUAAAUCUAUAAACCCUAAAUCCCUAACUCUUAAUCUCUAACCCUUAACCCCUAUCCCCUAACUCAUAAACCUUAAAUCACAACCCUUAAAUCAGAAUCCCUAAUUCCAUAAUUUAUAAACCUUAAAAUUGCAACUCUUAAACCAGCCCUAAAUCCUAAAUUAACCAUAUAUAUACCCUAAACCAUAUAUAUUAAACCCUAAAUUAUAAUGAUAAUUAAAUUAAAUAUUUUAAAAUUAAUACUAUCGUAUCUUUUACAAUUAUAUUUGAAAUUAUUUAAUAUAUAAAUUAAAAAUCAAUCAAUGAUGUACACAAAAAAAUUUAAAAUUAUUUUAAAUAAUAGUAUUUUAAUUUCUUCAUUUUUAACAAAUAUUAUUCUAUGUUUUUUUAUUUCAACUUAUUUUUACGUGUCAUUAUUUCAAAUUUAUACAUUUUUAACAUAUAUUCAAUUAAAAAUAAAUUAAAUAGUAAAUAGCAGAUAAAAUGUUUUUGCGGCGCUUUUUCAAAAACGCCGCUAAAGCCCUGAGCAUUAGCGGCGCUUUUUCAAAAACGCCGCUAAAGAUCUGAGCAUUAGCGGCCCUUUCUCAAAACGCUGCUAAAGAUCUGAGCAUUAGCGGCGCUUUUUUAAAAACGCCGCUAAAGAUCUGAGCAUUAAGCGGCGCUUCUUCAAAACGACCGCUAAAGAUCUGAGNNNNNNNNNNNNNNNNNNNNNNNNNNNNNNNNNNNNNNNNNNNNNNNNNNNNNNNNNNNNNNNNNNNNNNNNNNNNNNNNNNNNNNNNNNNNNNNNNNNNCGUUAUUUUUAUAUCUGAUUCUGACACGAAAAAAAUAAAAAAUAUUUUUUUGUACUGUGUACUGCAUGCUGGCCAUUGACAGGCCAGCACCCAAAAAUUUUUUUUUUCGUUUUUUUUCCGUAUAUCAGUAUUAUAUAAUUUUAAAAAAAAUACAUGGGUUUCGGCCAUUGAUAGGCCAGAACCCAAAAAAUUAAUUUUUUUAAGUCUGACACAAUGAUUAGGCAAUCAUUGGUGCAAAAAAAGAGUGGAUACUGUUCAUUUCAGGUUAUUUUGGUGAUUAUUUUUAAACUUGAGUUAUUUUUGUAAAUAUAAUAUUUUUUUGGGUUAUUUGGGUAAAAGGGCCUCAAAAGCACAAAGCAGGCGAUGUAUCCAAUGCUAUCAGUACAUCAAUGAUUACAUACCAAUAUAUAAUAAACAUUAUCAUAAAAGUAUUUAUUUCAUUUAACAAUUUUUAAAUUAAAUAACUUAAACUACAAGGAAAAUUUAAAAUCUACAUAUGGUUAAGUUAGGAAUUAAUUUUUUUUUAAAUGAAGGUUGAAGUAAAUUAUUAGGAUAAAUCUUAAAAUUAUAUAUGAAUUUUAGUUUAAUGUGUAAUUUUAUAUAUGUACUUUAAUUUUGUACAAUUUUUAUUCACGAAAAUUUAAUUUGUUCUAAUCCUCAUAAAUUAUUAACAUAAUUAUUGAUAUAACAUCAUUUUAUAUUUAUAUAUUACAUACACGUAUAAUUAUAUUUAUCCAAUAUAAAAAUAUAUUAAUAUAUUUGUUUCUUUAAAUGUGCAUGAUUGAAUCAAAAUUAAAGUUUCAUGUGUAUAAUUAUAUCAAAUUAAAAUUUAUGUAUCGAAUUACAUAUCGAAUUAAAGUUCAUGUAUACUUUUGUGAUUUAUCCAAAAAUAAUAUGAAGAUGUAAAUAAUUAAAGUCUAUUUACACUAAACACGGGCGUAUCUUGGCUAAUGAUGAUGCAUCAUUGACCCUACAUGCAUAUAUGCAUGUUAUUGCAUCUAUCAUCCUAUUCUUCGGGCCACAAUUCCACACGCACCACAUUAACAUGCAAACAUAUAUGACACACAUACAUACACAUGAUGUAAUAAUAAAUUACUCUCUUUAAUCGAUUGGUCUAGCUCUAGCAUAUAUGAUUUUACCUUGAAAUAGAAUUAUUAACUCUUCAAAGCAAAUUUAGCCUCCAUAAUUACAAGUAUUCCUAUAUGUCUUGUGGACCAGUAUUUAUCACCUUCAUUAGGGUUUAGCUUAAAUUACUCUAUCUGUUGAUUGCUUGCUAAGAUAACACCCAGCACUUUAAUUGUUCCUCGCUGUAUAUAUAUGUUAUCUACACCUGAAUAAAGCAAACUCAUUACUUUACAAAGUGGGCAGACUGGUCCCCAAAAAAAGCAUUGCCUACUCAUAUCAAUCCACAAAAUACUGCACUUCUUUGCAUUACUUUGCUUCGUCUUGUGGCAAUAAAAAUUUAUUGCAACAAUCAGAAUUUUGCUGCAUUUGGCUGAAAUUGGGUAGUACCUGAACCAAUGUUGAAGGUAUUAUUGCAAUAUCAAAAUUGAUUGAUGAAAUGCCAAAAGUUUUAAACCUGCCCCCACUUUUUCUUCUUGAGAAUUUUAAAUGAUUUUGCAGAGCAAGAGGAAGAAAUGAGACUAUCUACCUAACAUACAACUAUAUCCUUUAAACAAAGUUCAUUCACCUAUAAAACCCCAAGAAUUUUCAUGGAAAAGAAAUGUCUGGUAUUGAAGAUUUUGUGUGUAACUUGACACUAUUAUUGGGUUUUCGGUGGAUAAUUAGUCUUAAAGGAAGAAGGAAAUAGAAAAGAACUUGAAAGACAAAGAGAAAAGGGGGAAAAUGGGGUACUAUAUUUAUAAUUGAGAGGGAGAGCUGAGCAAGCAACAAUCACACCUCCAUUGUUGCCAAAUGUUGUUAUUGGCUAUUGCCUGUUGCUGUUAAGGCUUUCUCUUUCUCUCAAUGGGUUCUUCUUUGUGAUAUAUAAAUAAAUUUUCACAGAGUAAAAGAAAAGGAGGAAGCUUUAAGCUUUUCUUAAAGCUGAAGCCAGCAAUGGGUUUGAGUAGACCUCAAAAGCCUCCCAGUGGAAUUCCCACUAGAUGGGUUUCUCUCUUUUGCAUUGUCAGUUUCUUCUUGGGUGUACUUGUUGUCAACAGGUUUUUUUUUCUCUCUUCUCUAAGUGGACUAUGAAAUGAACAGGUUCUUGUUUGGAGUUGCCAAACUUUCAGAGUUUAUGUUGCAUUUUAAUGGUUUUUCUUAGAAGCUUUAACGAUUGCAGCAUUUCUCUGCCAUCUUGUUUUUUAGUACAUAUUGGAGGGUUUUGCUAAUUUGAUGCAGAAUUAUGAAGCACUUAUGUCUAUGGUUUUAUGGUUUCAAUUUUUGAAAAUCAGCUUCCAGUAAUGUGCUUUUUGUUAGAUAUUGACCCAAAUUCACCGGUUGUUGAGCUCUAUAAGCCUGUAUUAUCACCAAUAAACUUGAGCUUUACUAAGGUUGCUUUUUAUUUUCAUUUGUUUUCUUUAGGCCAUCAAAUUUUGUUCUUAUCAAUUGCAUUAUAUCUGCAUUUCUUAAUUCACCAUGUUGUUGUAUGUAAUUGUGCAUUGACUAGUGGUGCAUGGCGUUCGUUUACAGAUUUUGGGAUCCAGUUGAAGUGGAAGAGGAGGCUUCUUCCGCACAGAAACAUCGGAGAAACGAAGUUCAUCCCAUGGUUAUUUGUGAUAAGGUAAGAUCAGAGUACAAUGAUGUCAUAAGCUAUACAUUGCAUGCCUAGAAUCUUGAUGGUGUUAUGUAUGUUGUAACAGGAUGUUUCUGUUCGGACAGGGAACAUUCUUUCUCGAGUUUCACAAACCCGGGAUGUAAUUAAGUAAGUUCUUAUGUCUUGCCGGAGAAUUCUUUGGUAGGUUAUGUUAACUUUCUCCUUUAGUACAUCUAGUAUCUCUAAAAUGCAUUUAGAACUUAAGGCAGUUCGCAUUAUACAUACUUUCAGUACAUUAGACAAAACAAUCUCCUCAUUGGAGAGGCAGCUAGCUGCAGCUCGAGCUGCCAAAGCAGAUACCGAGGAAGGAUCUCCGGUGGUUACAAAAUCAGGAACCAAGGACUUGAAUGAAAGCCGGAGAGUAUUCUUUGUUAUGGGAAUUAUUACGGCGUUAAGGAAUAGAAAACGAAGGAAUUCAAUCCGGGAGACUUGGAUGCCUCAAGGUUUGAUUCAAUACUCUUUUGGCAUUCUACCAGGGAAGGGAUGUAGUCAAGUAUUUAUACUUUUCGAGGUUAUUGUUCUUAGGGGAGGAAUUAAAGAGGUUGGAGAAAGAGAAGGGAAUUAUAAUUCGAUUCGUCAUAGGACACAGGUAAAUUCGAUUGAAAAUCGAAGUGUUUAACUUUAACAUGCUAGUUAACUUUGUUAGAAUGAUAAUGUAUCCUUGAUUCUCAGUUCAACCCCAGGUGGUGCUUUGGAUCGUGCUAUCAAUGUGGAAGAAGGGCAACACAAGGACUUUUUGCACCUGGUAUGCUCUCACUUCCAGUCCGGACCCGAUUUAGAAAUUCAAAACUUACGUAGAAUCGAAUGUUUUGUUUGGCAGAAUCAUAUUGAAGGUUACCAUGAACUAUCAAAGAAAACUCAAGUGUACUUUUCUGCAGUGGUUGCAAAGUGGGAUGCCGAUUUCUAUCUUAAAGUCGACGAUGAUGUACAUGUAAAUCUAGGUUAGUAUUGCUACAUUAAAGUUUCUCAGUACUUUCAUUUCUUCUCAAACAGAUCUAUAUCCUGGUGACUAACUUGAUAUCAAAUUAUUCAAUAGGUGUGGUAAGUUCUACACUGGCCCGUCACAGACACGAACCCCAUGUUUAUAUUGGUUGCAUGAAGUCUGGACCUGUUGUGGCACAGAAGUAAGGAUGAACUUUUUGUGAACAAGAUUUUUAGUGUCAUUUAUAUUGUCUUUCCCACCAAGUUACCCUCUUGCCUUUCGCAUGCAGAGGCAUCAAAUACCGCGAGCCAGAAUAUUGGAAAUUUGGUGAGGGAAACAAGUAUUUCCGGCAUGCAACUGGACAAAUAUAUGCAAUCUCCAAAGACUUGGCCACCUAUAUCUUUGUCAAUCGGUAAACACUUAUUCAGCAACAUUUUGUCAAUAAUGAUCAGAUCGCUUAUUCAUUUGUGUUUUCUGUCCAGGCACAUACUUCAUAGGUAUGCGAAUGAAGAUGUCUCCUUAGGAUCCUGGUUUAUCGGUCUCGAUGUUGAGCACAUAGAUGAUAGAAGUCUAUGCUGUGGUACCACUCCCGCUGGUAAGAUAUGGUAGCCAUUAUGCUUGAAUGGUACAAUGUUCACUUUGUAUUCUUUGUUUUCUCCUGCAACCGAGAGUGCACAAAUAAUCUAGUGUUUAAAUUUCUCAAAUAGAUUGCGAGUGGAAAGCUAAAUCAGGGAAUCACUGCGGUGCAUCAUUCGAUUGGAGCUGCAGUGGCAUUUGCAAGUCAUCAGUGAGAAUGAAGGAGGUGCACCAGCGUUGUGGGGAAGGCGACCAAGCCAUUUGGGAUACUAGUUUCUGAAAGCAUAUCAGGGACCUGGGUAUAGCAUAUUUGUGUAUAUUUGAACAAAUUUUAUGCAUCGAACAAUGCCGUCAACCCCGAUCUUUUUUCCUUCCAAUGUUACGGGGCAAUCGGUACUGGAACUGGACUACACUAGUCAUUGCAUGUAUUCUCAUUUCCAGAAAAUGAAAAUGAAGAUGUUUUAGUUUUAAAGCCUCGAUUCACUUCAACUGAAUUUGAUGAUAGCACCAUUUCAGUAGGGGCUUGAUUUGCAGCAAUAUUGGGAAACUCCGCAGAGACUCUAAGCUUCAUUCUUUCAGGUAAAACCGCGAAACUUCUGGAUUAAGACAGACAAAACUUUGAAGCCAAAUUUAAUGGAUCAUUUGAAUCAAAAUUUUGACAAUGAAUUUUUACAGCGAAUCAUGCAGGUAGUGUACUUUCGUCCAUAACAAUCUCAAUGAGCCAACUAGAGCUAAAAGCUCCAAUGGAAAUUUAUACCUGCCGUUGCCAAAACUCACCCCACUCGGGUGGCAGUUCUGUUGAUGGAAUUUUAGCCUUGAAAAGCAAACGCACUGGAGCAUAAGUUAAGCAUCCUUUGGAGGGGCAAUGAGUUUAAUUUGGUGAGAUAUUUAUUUAAAUAUAAAUGUUGCGGUGAAAUGAGAUUAAAAUAAAAAUAAUCAUUAUAGACAUUAAUUUAUAAUAUAUUUAUAAUACAAUAAAUAAUUAAAGUUAUAUUUAUUUUUUACCAAUCAAAACACUAAUUCUUUUGCCUUCUCCUUCUUUAAAACAGCUCUAGUGAAAAAUCACAAUUGUAGUGCAAUAAAAUGCCUCAACUGAAUCAAAUCACAGAUGAGAAAUCUAACCUCAUCGGAGCUAAAUGGGUAUCCAAAGGGAGCCUUAGAUUUCAAGGGACCCUUAAUUAAAAGUAUAUUAAAGUCAAACCACGAGGUGUGGCAUGUUGAUUACACACCUUCACUUAUGGGAAAAGAAUACAUUUCAUGGUUAACCGUUUCAUCUCUUCGGAGAACACCCGCAGCAAGGGGAUUAAUCACUUUUAUUGAUGUUGGAAUACCUUGGUUUUUUUUUUUAAAAAAAAACAUAAUGACUUAUUUAACUUGCAUUGUUUGUCAAAUUACCCCAAAAUGAAUGAAAAAGCUAACGUUUGUUAAAUUUGCUAACGUGGUAUCAUGUGUAUGUUAUGUUAGCAAUUUAAUUUUUAAAAAUUGAAUAAUAUUUUUAUAAGUUUUAAUAAUUUUAGUAACUUUUUAUUUUAAAAAUAAAUUUUAUAAUUUUUAUUAAUUUUUUAACUUUUAAGAAAUUAUUUAUUUAUUUAUGUGGCAUUUACGUAGCAAUCGUCAUUUUAAAAUUUUUAAAUAUUUAAUAAUAUUUUAAAUGAUGGUUUUUUAAGGAAAUGAUAGUUUUCAAAAUUGUCAUUUUAAUUUAUAAUUUAUAAAUAUAUAUUUAAAAUAUAACCAUGAAUACGUUCUAAAAGUAAUGCAUCUUGAAAAGUGGACAAAAAUAGGAGUUUUGAUUAAUUUCCUUUUUUUUUUUGCAUGAAUAAAAAGUCUUACCGUAUAUUUAUGAAAAAAGAGUGAGUGGUUGAGAUUCUACCUAAUGGGCCGGGUCCUUGUUUUUCUAUCCAAGUCCUUCUUAAAUUAAAAAUAUUAAACUCGAGUUCAAUCACCCGUGUUAAUUUUUUAAAAUUAAUUUUUAUAUAAAAUAAUUUUAAAAAUAUAGUACAUCAAAUCCACUUAUAAUAAAUGUUUCCUAACAAAUUAAAAAUAUAUUUAAAAAAGGCUUUAUACUUAAAUAACGAAAUGUUAUCUGUAAUUAAGUUUUCAUACCAAAUAUUUCAACUGAUUUAAAUUCUUAAAAAAUUAUUGAUUGAUUUUUCGCUCAAUUGACAUGGGCAUUAUUGUGAGGACAUAAUUUCGAGUACCCUGAAACGCAUUGUCCUCCUGUUUAUAGGUUGGAAAGAUGUUAUGAAUAGUUUUAGGCAUUACGUAAAAUAUUAUAUAUAUAUAUAUAUAUAUAUAUAUAAUCUCAAUCUAUGAUUGAAAUUGUUAAAAGAAAUUCUUAAAAAAAUUGAAAUAUUCCACCAUAUCAAUCCACUUCAAAACUUGUAUCUUAACAUCUACAAUUCAUCUCUUAUUAUAAAAUAACAGCCUCAUUCUUAUAAAAAAUAAAAUCUUCAAAAAAAAAAGUACUUGUGGAGGAAAAAAUUUUAAAUGUUUAAAACAUUGUUGUACUGCAAUUGGUGGGUCAAACUGAGGCUCUGCGGCUGUUCAUACCAUGCCAAACUUCAUAUUUCCACCACUUAUUUUAAAAAGAAGGUUUAAAUUUGUCUUCAGUCCCUCUACUCUUCAAACUCUUAAAAUUUAGUACAUUUACUUUUAUUUUUAGAAAUUCAUUUUUUUUCACUUGUUUAAAUUGAAAAUUUAAAUUGAAUUGAUAAAUUUCGAUUAAAUUUAAAUAUGUUUCAUUUGAAUAUUUAAAAGUGGAAAUUCAAUUGAUGACACAUAUUUAAAUUUAAUAAUAUAUAGUCAACAUCGUUAUCAAUUUAUUUUUAAUUUUUAAAUCAAAUAAAUUUCUAAAAUAAAGUCGCGAAAAUGAGGAAAAAGAUUUGAGACCACAAUAUAUAUAUAUAAACAUAUAUAUUAUGGUGGAAUGUGGGAUGUAUUAGAUUGAAGUGGAAGUACACACAAAUUGCAUGUGCAAAAGCAUGGUCGGUUUAUAGUGUUCUAAGUAACCGACACUAGUGGUAGUCGUCGGAGAUCUCUCUCAACCCAUAGCUGUUAUGUGUUAACGUCAAAGAGGGAAAAAAGAAGAAGCACAUACUAUUAACGAAUGAUGUUAUUGAUGAUAUUUAAGUUAGAUAAAUUUUGAGACGAUAGACAUGAUUUAUGAAAAGGGGAACUCUAACUUCGAUAUUAUCAUUAUUGGUUUAAAAUUUCGAGUGGUUUUAGCUUGGAUUUUAUUGAGCUUGUAGACCGAAUUUACUUUCUCGCAAAGUUACACUUGUAUGUGACCAUAUAAACACGUGUUAAGUCUAAAGUAGAAUACAUGUCUACAUACAUAAAACCUAUCUGAUAUAUCAUAUCAAUAAACAGUACACAUAUCAUAUAAAUACAUAAACACCAUUAUCUUAAAAAACGGAGAAAAACACUCAAUACUCCAUUUUUGCCAAUACUACUAAAAUCAUUUUGUCUAUUUAUUAAUAGACCAUAUCAUGUGAUUUAACGAUAUUAUUUAUAUAGGUUUAUAAUUAGCAAGGCGUAUUUGUUAUAUGACACAAUAACCAAUGAUGUUAGGUUGUGUGUUUAGGUUAUAGAAGGAUAUUAAAUUUGGAAUUUAGUUUUUUAUUUUAUUUCUUAUUUUUUGAAUUUAAAAGUUUGAUUGAAAAUAUCGUUACUUUUUUUAAUUAAAUUUAAGAUUAUUAUAAUGUAUUUUUUAUUAUAUGGCUAUUAAAUAAAUAUUUUUUAUUUUAAAAUAUUACACAAAUAAAUUUAAUAAAAAAUUUAGUCAUAAUUAAUAAUUAAAUCAAAAUUUUAAAAUCUAAAAAAUAAAUAAAUUUAAAUUCUUUAAAAUAAAAAAAAAACUAAAUUACAAAUAUCUAAAAAUUAUACAAACUUUUGCGAGGCAGAGUGUUUUGGUUGGAGAAACGCAUAGCAACAUCAUGCGUUCUACGUGCGAAAUCAUAGAAAUUCCACACGAAUAUUCAAUCGUAGUUUUACAACAAACAAAUUAUUAUAGUCUAUUAUUUAAUUUUCAAUCUCUUCAAGCUAUUGAAUUAGUUUUUCUGUUUUGACAAAUUGAUAGAAAAAUUAAUAUUUACUAACUUUGCUGACAAUUGACAUGACAAUUUACGUGUAUACCACGUCAACAUUUAAUUAAUUUUUAAAAAAUUAAAAAAUAUAGAAUAUUAUUAUAAAUUUAUUAUUAAAUCAAUUUUAUUUUUUUGUAAUUUUUAUGUUUUUUAAAUAUUUUUAUAUAUUCUUAUUUUUUGGAAUUUUUAAAAUUUUAAUUAAUUAAUUGUUUAUUUGACAUACACGUGGGCUGCUACGUCUGCAAAGUUAAUUGAUAUUAACUUAUUCAUCUAUUUUUGGGUGAUUUGACAAACGCAAGUUAAAAAAUUAGAAGAGUUGAAAAUUUAAAUAGAUGACUAAAAUGACCUUUUUAUAAAAUUUGAGGGUUAAAUGACUCAUUAUGCCAUAUUUUUAAUGUCAUCAAUUGAUAUAAAUAGAUAACAAUGUUAAAUAUAUUAAUAUGAAAACUUGAUUUUUUUUUUAUUUGAUUCCUAAAUUUGGAUUUUGUUAAGGUAUGAUGGAGUAAGUCACAUCAUCACUUGAAUUUUUUUAAAAUAUAUAAUUUUUUUUUAUUUUUUUAAAUGAUGAUGUGGCGUAAACUCAUAAUAAUAAUUUUUUCUUAAAUAUAACCUUUUCAAUCAUUAUGCUCACACAAUUUCUUAUUUUUUUAUUUUAAGGAUUCUUUAUAAAAACAUUUUAAUCUUAAUGGUUAUAAAUGUUAAUUUUUUAGAUUUCAAUAUAUUAAUUUUUAAAACUAUUUAAUAUUAUUAUGAAAAUAAAUGAAUAAAUUAUUUUAAUUUAAGGUAUAAAAAUUAAAUCUAAAAUAAGACCAAAAUCAUAAUCCAAUCAAGAGUACCGUGAAGUAAUUUUUGUAUGGUACUCGUAACGUCUUUAUUUGUGCCAAAAUUUCCGGAUAUAUAAUCGCUCAAGAUAGCAUAUAAAGUAGAUUUACAGGAGAAAAAUGUGCUAAUAUAUUAAUUUUUUAUAAUACAAAUUAUUUAAGUUCUUUAGAAUCAAUUGCAUCAAAUAUCUCCAAAUUAUGACUUUUAUUUAAAAUAGAUCUUUAACUUUAAAAUAUUUCAAUAAUAUCUUAAUAUUAACGUUGUUAUAUUAACAAGAUACUUCCGUUACUAAUAUUAUUAAUUUAAUCGUUAAAUGAUAUAUUAGAUCUUAUAUGAUAUAAUUUAAAAUAUUAAAAAAAUAAUUAAAAUGAAAAUUUUAAAGAAAAUUGAAUACUGUAAAAAAAUUAAUUAUGAGGUUUUUAAAGCUUUUAUAGAAAUUAUUGUUCAUUCUCUCUUUUUUUAAUUUUACUUUAUUUUUAAUUUUUAAUUUUAAAAUGAACUUGUAUUUUAAUAUUACUAGUGAACACAUGUUUAAACCAUGAAUUUACUAUUUUUAAUUAUUUUAUUAAAAACAUAUAAAAGUAUGAAAAGUGACAUCAUAAUAAUAUUAAUUAUAAUUUAAAAGAAGGAAUAUUUUUGUAAUUUUAUAAUGAAUUGGUAGGAAUAACACCAAGUCAUUUUUUAUUUGUUAAGUUUUAACAUAAUAAAAAUAUUAAAUGUUUCAAAUCAUAGGAUUAUUUGGAGCAAUCACAUAUAUUGUAACUAGUCUGCAUCUAAAUAAGUAAUCAUCUAUUUAAAUUUAAUAUCAAAACAUUAAUUUUUUUUAAAUUGUUGUAAUAUUGAAAAUUGUAAAAUUAUAUCGAUGUUUGGUUCAUCAAUUUUGUAAAUUAAAUAGGUAAUUUAGGUGUAAGGAAUAAAUUGUAAAAUUCCAAUCACUAUAUAUUUUUAAUUGGCCAAAAACUCAGGGAUAUAAAUUGCAAUUAGCUAAAGGUUCAAAAUGGCAAUUAAACUAUUUUAUAAUAUAUGAUAGUGGAUGAUGAUGGGGAUUCCAUUAAGUUUAAUUAGAAGUUAAUUAUGUUAAGUAAAUCAUAAUUUAACUAAUUAAAAAAUUAAUUAACAACUAAUUGAUGUAUGAAUAGAAAAUGUUAGUGGAAAAUCUUUUAUUUUUCUUCCCUUCACCGUCCACCAUUAAUAUAAAACUAAGGAAAAGCUUCAAGUUCUUCAAAUAAUCCGCUAAUUUAUGCCUUUUUCUUGUAAUUUUUAUAGACUUGAGGUUAUGAGAGCUUGAUUUAGCUAGCACAUGUAUCAAAUUGUAAAAAUAUUAAAAUUUUUUGAAAGUUAUCAUUGUUGAUUUAUUGAAGAAUUAGGCUUGAAAUUUAUAGAUUUUAAGCUUAAAUCAUGAGAAGGAUCAGAUUGUAAAAUUAUUUAGCUUAAUUGUUAACUUUGUACAUUAGGGACUAAAGUGAAUAAAAUAUUAAAUUAUUGUGAAAUUUAUGUAGAAAUAGAAAGUAGGGGAUCCCUAAUGAAUGUAUGAGAAGUCAGAUUGUAAACUGAGGUUAAAAAUUGAAAGUAAUGGCUAUUUCGAAUUUAGGGACUAAAUUGAAUGAAAUCUAAAAUUCCAGGGGUAUAAAAAAUGAGAAUAUAUAGUUUCAUUUAUGUCGUGUCAUAACAUGAAAAUAUUUAGUAUUGAUGGAUUGUAUAAAAAUAAUUGUUUAGAUUAAGAAUCUUAUCAAAGUAGAGUUAACCGAUGAAAAACUAAAAUUAUUGAUUAGUCCCGGAAGAAUCAACUUGUUUAGUGUUUUGAACAGGUGAGUUCACAUGGAGCAUAUUAUUUCACUUGGAAUUAUAUGUGCAUGCUUGUGUUUAAUUUAAUGUAUGAAUUUUUGAAUAUAAUUGAAAUAUCUUGGAAUUUAGUGUAACUGGCUAGUAUUGGAUUGAAUUGGAAUAUUGUGUAAAGUUGGUUAUUAUGUAAUAAUAUAUGGUACAAAUGCGUAAAUACUGAUGAUUACAUGAUAUGGAAGCGUUAUAUGUGACCCAUUUACGGGGUGUAUACAUUUAAAGAAAUAAAUAUAUCAAUUUAUUAUAAAUUAGAUAAAUAUAAUACUUUAUGCAUGCAAUAUGUAAGUGUAAAAUGGUUCUACAUUGAUAAUUGUAUUAAUGAUUAGUGAAAAUUGAAUUAAAUGAAUAUUUCAUGUAUAAAAUUGCACAAAAUCAAAGUUUUUGUAUAAAAUUGCACAUUAAAUUAAAGUUUAUGUAUAGUUUUGAGAUUUAUCCCUAAUUUAAUAGUCAUAGCUUUUUUCACCUCUCAAUGUUUUUAUUAGAAAGGCAUAAUAAUAAAUUUAGCCCUCAAUAUUUUACAUAUUUUGUCAUUUUGGCAAUACUCUUUUUUUGAACUAAAUUUGACCAUUAACAUUUCAAAAAGUAAUCAAUUUGCUUUUCUUAAUGAAACUUUUGACUAAAAUGUUAAUUUUUUAAUGAUGUUGGCGUGGCAAUAUAUGCGUGCUUCAUGCUAACAUAAUACUAUUUGUCUUGUACCUCACAUCAAUAAUAACUUCAUAAUUAUAAAAAAAUUCAAAUAAAAAUAACUCAAAAUUAUAAAAAUUAAUAAAAAUUCACAAAAUUAGCAUUAAGUACACGUGGGCUGCCAUGUUUAAAAAAACAACAAUUUAGACAAUAUUUCUAUAAAAAAGAAGAAGCAAUUUGAUUGUUUAAAAAGCUGAUGGUUAAAUUUAACUCUUUUUAAAAUGUUAUAAGCCAAAUUUAACUUAAAAAAGAAUAAGAGUCAAGUUGACAGAAGAUAUAAAAUUAAUAAUCAAAUGUGUGAUUAUGCCUAUUAGAAAUGUAUUUUUAUACAAAAUUACCCCUACUUACAUUCACGGCUUAUGGAAACGGAAAUAGUUAGGAUUUAUAAUAGUAGUAGAGCCAAGGGAGGGCUCUGGCUCCCUAUUUAUAAUUUAUAAAAUUUUAAAUUAGUAAUGAUAAAAUUACACAUUGACCACUCCAAAAAAUAAAAAUUUAAUUUAAUCAUUUAAAAAUUAUAAAAAUAUAUAAUAUUAAAAUGAUGAAAUUAUAUUUUUAUUAUUAUAAAAAAAGUAUUUUGGUGUCAACUUAAUCAUCAAAUUCAUAGCUCUUUUUUGUUUUGUUCAUUAAAUUCAUAACUUUUUAAUCCUUAUCUGGUUUUUGAUCAGACAAAUCCUCAACCAAUCAAAAAAUAAACUCAAUUCAUUACUUCAGCAUUCCAAAUUUAUCAAAAAAUUAUAUAAUAUUUUAAUUAUUUUUGGUACUAUAUACCUACCCCUAAAAUAAGAUUGUACAUACAGGAAAAGUAAAGAAGUAAAAGACUGUAGGGAUGAUGAAAUUUGGAUGCAGAAGAAAAACGCGGCGACCACAAAUUUAAGUGGGAAGCGUAUCAAAUUCAAACACACACACAUACCAUCAAUGCUUUCUCAGCCUAAACUUAAAAUAGUUAUGUUUUAUAUAUAUAUAAAAUGUUAUUUUACAAAAAAAUAUAUAAAUUUUUAAUGAUUUCACAAUUGGAUCAAAAUCUUGGUACAAAUAAAAAAAAUUAAAAAUAAAUAGAAUACAAAUAUUAUAAUGUUUUUAAUGCAAUAUAUAAAACUCUAGUUAAAAUAAAUAUAUCUAGAAAAAGUAACACAUAUUAAAAUUUCUUAUUUUUUAAUAUUAUAAAUACAUUUGUUGUAAAAGAUGUCUUUGAUUUUCAUUUUAAGGGAAAAAAAAAGAAAAAGAGGAUCCCUUAUCUAGUUUUACCCAUUUAUUACCAAACAUCUGGCAAAUUCUUUUUAAUUCUGUCUGAAUUGAUGCACGGUUAAAAGAGAAAGGAAAAGAAUUACCAAAUUUAAACCUCAAAUAAUGAAAUAAUAUUCUAUUAAUUUAAUCAAAAGAUAAUUUAUAAAUACUAAUAACCUUUCUUUAAUAGUUACAAAUAAUUGUAAAUUGAAUAAAAUAUUAUAAUGCACCGUUCUACAAAAAUACGAACUAUUUUAAUGAAAUUGAUGUAAAACUAGGAGUUACGAGUUUAAGAUUAAACUAAAGGAGUAAUAAUCCUAAUAGGUUAGUGAGUAAUGACUUGUCGUCUAAAUCUCUCUCUCUACAAGUAUAUAUAUGUAUGUAUCUGUUAUAUUUUAAAAUAAUAGUUUGGUGGUGUGUAUGAGACUGAGUUCAUUUAUGGGCCUACGGUAAUCCAGGGAACACGACUCUCCACCGCUUAUCACCAAAUCCUUAUCUUUAAUUCCCUUCCUCACUUGUUGUCUUGUUGCUCCACUGUGCACGGUUUCCAUAUCUUUUCUCUCCUCCAUUCCCCAAUAAUUUCUUUCCCUUUUUAAUGUUCUUCUUCUCCCCCAUUUUCACUCCCUUUUAGCUUCAAUUUGGUGGGUUCUUUGGUUUACUUUUCAAGGGUUUCUCUCUUCAAAAAAACCCUCGAGAAAUCUAUGCGCUUAACGCUUACUUUUUGAUUCAUUCGAGGGGUUCUUUUCCUUCUCUUCUUCUUGUUGUUUUAGAGAUGGGUUUGGUGUCUGUUUUUUGGGAGAUUUUAAAGAAACCCACAAUUGGAGAUGUGGUGAGGGAGUUACUGAUUUUUAUAGCUCCUUUAUGGGUUGCUGUAAUUGUUGGGGUUUUAGUUGGUUGGGCAUGGAAGCCGAAGUGGGCAACUAUAGGCAGGGAGAUGUUCAUGGAUUGUUCUGGUUCUAAGGAUUCGGCUCCUGCAGAAUCUUCUGAGUCUUCUUUCAGUGGUUUUGGUUCCCUUCCGAGCUUGAAUUUGAUCAAGUUUCAGUUGCCUAGUGUUAUCUCUUGGAUUUCAGAUGAUGGGGCUCAAAAAGAUUCUUUCUUUUUGUCACCUACUCUUCAUUCCAAUUGCAGGUUUGCAACUCCAUAUUUUGCCUUCUUUAAUAGCAAUUUUGUAGUUGUAAAUGGUAUAGGAGAGGGAAUUCUAAUGGGAAUUGGGAUUGUAUUUGAUUUGAUUUCACCAACAACUAAUGUCUGUUUAAUUGGACAGUUCAUCACAGAACGAGAAGCAAAAACUGGGUUUUCUGACAGAUGAUGAUUUAGAGCAUUUAUAUAAAUUAGUUGAAGAAAAAGAUGGAGGUCCUGCUUGGAUUCACAUGAUGGAUAAGUCCACCCCAACUAUAGGAUAUCAGGCUUGGCAAAGAGAUCUUGAGGUAUCAUUUCCUCUUCCUGUUAUUUAAUUUAUCAGAACCAGUAAAAAUCGAAAACUUAUUAUAAAUAACCCUGCUGGUUGUGUUUGGGAUUCAUUUGCUGUGUUGAAUUAUGCUUUUUAUUGCUUGUUAGAUUGGUCCUACACAAUAUCGUAGCCGGACUGUUUUCGAUGAUGCCACUCCUGAGAUGGUGAGGGAUUUCUUUUGGGACGAUGAAUUCCGAUCAAAAUUGAAGUGGGAUGAAAUGCUUCUUAGUGCCGAAACUCUCGAGUCGUCUCCCACUGACGGCACCAUGGUGGUCCAGUGGGUUCGAAAGGUUCGUAAUAGGUUUUCUAAUUGUUUCUUUUUCUUUUUGGUUGACUUUUGUUGUUUCUAAAGUUGUUUUAUAAGAUGUUCUCUGGUUUGUAGUUUCCCUUCUUCUGCAGUGACAGAGAAUACUUGAUAGGUCGUCGGAUUUGGUCAUGUGGUCGGACAUAUUACUGUGUUACAAAGGUAACAUCCUAUUCUGGUCCCUGGUUUUCGAUUUUGAUUAAAAUCCUGGAAGUUAACAAGUCUUUCCUAUUUUUUCCCUAUAUUGUUCUGUUUUCUGCAUUCCUGGUUAGAAAUAACUAGGCUGCAGCCGAUAGUCUGACAUUUGACCAAAUAUUAGUGGGAACAAUAUACCUUUUACAUUUAUAAGAUCUUUUAUGUUGUGAACAAAAAUGAAAAUUGUUCUAACCUCAUUAAGGGAACACUUGACGAGAUUGUUUCCUAAGCUUUGAAUUAAUCUUAUUAUUUCUUAGCUUAAUCAUCUUAUCACCUAAUAAUAGGUCGAUGACUAUUAAGUCUAAAACACUUCAUGCCAUGACAACAUCAUUUGGUCAAAUUUGUUUUGUAGCUAACUUAGUAGUAUGUUUUGUCCCGUUUCAGGGAGUACCAUAUCCCUCUAUUCCUAGAAAAACCAAACCUAGGCGUGUUGAUUUAUACUAUUCAAGUUGGUGCAUUCGUGCAGGUAAUGGACUUUUCAACCCAACCUAGUUUAAAAUUGUUUUUAAAUUGUUCCUAUGCUGUUAGGAAGUUUGAAACUUGUAUUUUCUUAGUAGUAUGCAAUUCGUUUCCGGGGAUAAAAAAAAUGGAGAAUGUAUAACUCUUUGUUUAGAUGAAUUUUCUAGGAAUAUCAUGUUUGAGUUUAUACAAGUCUGCCAAUAAUUUGUAUGCAUCACGUUUUGAACAGCUGAAUCAAGGAAAGGGGAUGGCCAGCUGACUGCGUGCGAGGUAUUACUUUUUCACCAUGAAAAUAUGGGUAUACCUUGGGAAAUUGCAAAGCUUGGGGUCAAGCUAGGCAUGUGGGGAACUGUCAGGAAGAUUGACCCUGGCUUACGUGCAUAUCAAACCGAAAGAGCAUCGGGAGCGCCCCUUUCUCAUUCAGCUUCCAUGGCUCAAAUAAACACCAAAGUAACUCAAGACUAUCUGACAUCCUUGGAAAGCAAUAGUAAUGAUUCAUCAGAGCUUGAAACACACAAUUCGUCUGAGAAACCAGGGAAGAACAACAUUCCCAAACUUGUAGUUGUUGGUGGGGCUAUCGCGGUUGCAUGUAUUCUAGAUCGAGGGCUCUUAACCAAAGCUGUUAUAUUCGGAGUAGCCCGAAGGUUUGCAAAAAUCGGAAGAAGGUUGUAAUCCUGAAUAUUUUUGUGGGUCAAUCGAAGGAAACCGCACCCACCAGCAAAGCAGAUUGCCAUUGCAAUGAAGUGAGAUGUUGGGGAUGGAUGAAUCUUCUCACUUAGCCGCGUUUAAAAGGUUGGAAGAUGGAAAGAUUAUAUUAGUUUUUGCAAUAUUUGGG
RNAcentral lists this long non-coding RNA (69113 nucleotides) under Gossypium raimondii (Peruvian cotton). RNAcentral's name for it is "long non-coding RNA (GRAI_LNC004980)". Lineage: Eukaryota; Viridiplantae; Streptophyta; Magnoliopsida; Malvales; Malvaceae. The record is from RNAcentral.